AAGGAGCACACAGAACAUCUCUCUCUCUCUCUCUCUCUCUCUCUCUCUCUCUCUCUCUCUCUCUCUCUCUGACCAAUCAAACUUCAAUAAUAACAUCAGCCGAUUGAUGAUCAUAAAACAAUAAUACAGAAAAGAACCAAGACGAGGAAUGUGUACAUUACAAAGGAAACUAGGUUCUUCUACUUUAACAUCCAUGUCCGUGGGUGUUUCCAUCUUCCAAGAUUUUCGCCGCCGCUAAUUUACACCCAUGAGAACUCCCCAACUCUUCCAGAAAGCGGUUUGAAGAUCAUAUACAUCGCUAACCAAACUAUCACUCAGGAACAAAUAUGAUGUUGAAUUUGUCAGGCUUUGCUUACAGAGCAAACCGAAAAUUAUAUUCCAACUCUAAAUACAGGCUUCACCAUAAGUCUGUAUAAAACCAUAUGCUUUGAUCACCUUAUCAAAGCGUAUAUUCCAACUCCGAAAUGCUUGCACCAGUCCAUAGAUGGAUCACUGGAGUUUGCACACUUUAUUAGCACCUUUAGGAUCGACAAAACCUUUUGGUUGCAUCAUAUACAACUCUUCUUUAAGAAAUCCGUUAAGGAAUGCAGUUUUGACAUCCAUUUGCCAGAUUUCAUAAAAUGCGGCAAUUGCUAACAUGAUUCGGACAGACUUAAGCAUCGCUAGGAGUGAGAAAAUCUCAUCAUAGUCAACACCUUAAACUUGUCGAAAACCUUUUUGCGACAAAUCGAGCUUUGUAGAUAGUAACACUACCAUCAGCGUCCGUCUUCCUCUUGAGGAUCCAUUUAUUCUCAAUGGCUUGCCGAUCAUCGGGAAAGUCCACCAAAGUCCACACUUUGUUCUCAUACAUGGAUCCUAUCUCAGAUUUCAUGGCCUCAAGCCAUCUGUCGGAAUCUGGGCUCAUCAUAGCUUCUCCAUAGUUCGUAGGUUCGCCAUGCAUGACUUUCAGGAUAGGAUUACCAUACCACUCCGGUGCGGAACAUGCUCUAUUCGACCUACGAGGUCGAGUAGUAACUUGAUCCUAAGUUUCCUGAUCAUCAUCAUUAGCUUCCUCUCUAGUUGGUGUAGGCAUCACGGGAACGGAUUUCACUGAUGUGCUACUUUCCAAUUCGAGAGAAGGUGCAAUUACCUCAUCAAGUUCUACUUUCCUCCCAUUCACUUCUUUCGAGAGAAACUCCUUCUCUAGAAAGGUUCCAUUCUCGGCAACAAAGAUCUUGCCUUUCAGAUCUGUGGUAGAAUGUAUACCCAAUUGCUUCCUUAGGGUAUCCUAUGAAGACGCACUUCUCUAAUUUGGGUUCGAGCUUAUCAGGAUGAAGCCUUUUGACAUAAGUGUCGCAACCCCAAAUUUUAAGAAAUGAUAGCUUAGGUUUCUUGCUAAACCACAGUUCAUACGGUGUCGUCUCAACGGAUUUAGACGGUGCCCUAUUUAACGUGAAUGCGGCUGUCUCUAAUGCAUAACCCCAAAACGAUAGUGGAAAAUCAGUAAGAGACAUCAUAUAUCGCACCAUAUCUAAUAAAGUUUGGUUACGACGUUCGGACACGCCAUUACGCUGUGGUGUUCCAGGUGGCGUGAGUUGUGAAACUAUUCCACAUUGUUUUAAAUGAAGGCCAAACUCGUAACUCAAAUAUUCGCCUCCGCGAUCAGAUCGUUGAAACUUUAUUUUCUUGUUACGAUGAUUCUCCAGUUCACUUUGAAAUUCUUUGAACUUUUCAAAUGUUUCAGACUUGUGUUUCAUUAAGUAGAUAUACCCAUAUCUGCUCAAAUACUUAUCGGACCGCAUAAAUCGGUAUGUAUUAUUUCCAAUAAGUCAUUGGCUCGCUCCAUUGUUCCGGAGAACAGAGUUUUAGUCAUCUUGCCCAUGAGGCAUGGUUCGCAAGUAUCAAAUGAUUCAUAAUCAAGUGAUUCCAAAACCCCAUCUGCAUGGAGUUUCUUCAUACUUUACACCAAUAUUACCUAAGCGGCAGUGCCACAAGUAUGUUGCACUAUCAUUAUCAACUUUGUAUCUUUCGGCAUCAAUAUUAUGAAUAUGUGUAUCACUACGAUCGAGAUUCAAUAAACCAUAUACAUUGGGUGUAUAACCAUAGAAGGUUUUAUUCAUGUAAACAGAACAACAAUUAUUCUCUGACUUAAAUGAAUAACAGUAUCGAAAUAAACAUGAUCCAAUUAUAUUCAUGCUCAACGCAAACACCAAAUAACAUUUAUUUAGGUCCAACACUAAUCCCGAAGGUAGAGGGAGUGUGCGACGGUGAUCUUAUCAACCUUGGAAUCACUUCCAACACACAUCGUCACCUCGCCCUUAACUAGUCUUUGUUCAUUUUGCAACUCCUGUUUCGAAUUACUAAUCUUAGCAGCUGAACCGGUAUCAAAUACCCAGGGGUUACUAUGAACACUAGUAAAGUACACAUCAAUAGCAUGUAUAUCAAAUAUACCUUUGUUCACUUUGCCAACCUUCUUAUCCGCCAAGUAUUUGGGGUAGUUCCGCUUCCAGUAACCAUUCCCUUUGCAGUAGAAUCACUCAGUUUCAGGCUUAGGUCUAGUUUUGGGCUUCUUCACGGGAGUGGCAACUUGCUUGUCAUUCUUCUUGAAGUUCCCUUUCUUUUCCUUUGCUCUUUUUCUUGACAAUAGUGGUCUUGUUAACCAUCAACACUUGAUGCUCUUUCUUGAUUUCUACCUUCGCCGAUUUCAGCAUCGCGAAGAGCUCGGGAAUCUUUUUCGUUAUCCCUUGCACAUUAUAGUUCAUCACGAAGUUCUAGUAGCUUGGUGAUAGUGACUAGAGAACUCUAUCAAUCACUAUCUUAUCUGGAAGAUUAACUCCCACUUGAUUCAAGCAAUUGUAGUGCCCAAACAUUCUGAGCACAUGCUCACUAGCUAAGCUAUUCUCCUCCAUCUUGUAGGCAAAGUACUUGUCAUAGGUCUCAUACCUCUCGACACGGGAUGAGUCUGAAAUACCAAUUUCAUCUCUUGGAACAUCUUAUAUGCUCCAUGGCGUUCAAAAUGGUUUUGAAGUCCCGAUUCUAAGCCGUAAAGCAUGGGGCACUAAACUAUCAAGUAGUAAUCAUAUCGAGCUUGCCAAACAUUCAUAACGUCUGCAUCUGCUCCUGCAAUAGGUCUGUCACCUAGCGGUGCAUCAAGGACAUAAUUCUUAUGUGCAGCAAUGAGGAUAAUCCUCAUAUCACAGAACCAGUCCGCAUCAUUGCUACUAUCAUCUUUCAACUUAGUUUUCUCUAGGAACAUAUCAAAAAACAUAGGGAGCUAUAACGCGAGUUAUUGAUCUACAACAUAAUUUGCAAAUACUAUCAGGACCAAGUUCAUGAUAAAUUAAAGUUCAAUUAAUCAAAUUACUUAAGAACUCCCACUAAAGCUGACAUCCCUCAAGUCAUCUAAGUGUAACGUGAUCCAAAUCAACUAAACCAUGUCCGAUCAUCACGUGAGAUGGAGUAGUCAUCAAUGGUGAACAUCUCUAUGUUGAUCAUAUCUACUAUAUGAUUCACGUUCGACCUUUCGGUCUCCAGUGUUCCGAGGCCAUGUCUGUACAUGCUAGGCUCGUCAAGUUUGACCUGAGUAUUCCGCAUGUGCAAAACUGUCUUGCACCCGUUGUAUGUGAACGUAGAGCCUAUCACACCCGAUCAUCACGUGGUGUGUCAGCACAAAGAACUUCCGCAACGGUGCAUACUGAUGUCUACUACACAACCUUCUCCUUGUAGACGUUGUUGGGCCUCCAAGUGCGGAGGUUUGUAGAACAGUAGCAAAUUUCCCUCAAGUGGAUGACCUAAGGUUUAUCAAUCCGUGGGAGGUGUAGGAUGAAGAUGGUCUCUCUCAAACAACCCUGCAACCAAAUAACAAAGAGUCUCUUGUGUCCCCAACACACCCAAUACAAUGGUAAAUUGUAUAGGUGCACUAGUUCGGCGAAGAGAUGGUGAUACAAGUGCAAUUGGUGGUAGAUAUAGGUUUUUGUAAUCUGAAAUUAUAAAAACAGCAAGGUAACUAAUGAUAAAAGUGAGCGUAAACGUUAUUGCAAUGCUAGGAAACAAGGCCUAGGGUUCAUACUUUCACUAGUGCAAGUUCUCUCAACAAUAAUAACAUAACUGGAUCAUAUAACUAUCCCUCAACAUGCAACAAAGAGUCACUCCAAAGUCACUAAUAGCGGAGAACAAACGAAGAGAUUAUUGUAGGGUACGAAACCACCUCAAAGUUAUUCUUUCUGAUCGAUCUAUUCAAGAGUCCGUAGAAAAAUAACACGAAGCUAUUCUUUCCGUUCGAUCUAUCAUAGAGUUCGUACUAGAAUAACACCUUAAGACACAAAUCAACCAAAACCCUAAUGUCACCUAGAUACUCCAAUGUCACCUCAAGUAUCCGUGGGUAUGAUUAUACGAUAUGCAUCACACAAUCUCAGGUUCAUCUAUUCAACCAACACAAAGUACUUCAAAGAGUGCCCCAAAGUUUCUACCGGAGAGUCAAGACGAAAACGUGUGCCAACCCCUAUGCAUAAGUUCACAAGGUCACUGAACCCGCAAGUUGAUCACCAAAACAUACAUCAAGUAGAUCACGUGAAUAUCCCAUUGUCACCACAGAUAAGCACAUGCAAGACAUACAUCAAGUGUUCUCAAAUCCUUAAAGACUCAAUCCGAUAAGAUAACUUCAAAGGGAAAACUCAAUCCAUUACAAGAGAGUAGAGGGGGAGAAACAUCAUAAGAUCCAACUAUAAUAGCAAAGCUCGCGGUACAUCAAGAUCAUGCCAAAUCAAGAACACGAGAGAGAGAGAGAUCAAACACAUAGCUACUGGUACAUACCCUCAUCCCCGAGGGUGAACUACUCCCUCCUCGUCAUGGAGAGCGCCGGGAUGAUGAAGAUGGCCACCGGAGAGGGAUCCCCCCCUCCGGCAGGGUGCCGGAACGGGUCUAGAUUAGUUUUCGGUGGCUCUGGAGGUUUGCGGCGGCGGAACUCCCGAUCUAUUGUGUUCCCCGAUGUUUUUAGGGUAUAUGGACAUAUUGUUGGGGAACGUAGUAAUUUCAAAAAAAUUCCUACGCACACGCAAGAUCAUGGUGAUGCAUAGCAACGAGAGGGGAGAGUGUUGUCCACGUACCCUCGUAGACCGACAGCGGAAGCGUUAUCACAACGCGGUUGAUGUAGUCGUACGUCUUCACGAUCCGACCGAUCAAGUACCAAACGCACGGCACCUCCGAGUUCUACACACGUUCAGCUCGAUGACGUCCCUCGAACUCCGAUCCAGCCGAGUGUUGAGGGAGAGUUUCGUCAGCACGACGGCGUGGUGACGGUGAUGAUGUUCUACCGACGCAGGGCUUCGCCUAAGCUCCGCAAUGAUAUUAUCGAGGUGUAAUUUGGUGGAGGGGGCACCGCACACGGCUAAAAGAUCUCAUGGAUCAAUUGUUGUGUCUCUGGGGUGCCCCCCUGCCCCCGUAUAUAAAGGAGCAAGGGAGGAGGAGGCCGGCCCUAGGAGGGGGCGCACCAAGUGUGGAGUCCUACUAGGACUCCCUAGUCCUAGUAGGAUUCCACCUCCCAUAUGGAAUAAGAAAAGAGGAAGGGAAAAAGAGAAGGAAGGAAGGGGGUGCCCCCCUUCCCUAGUCCAAUUCGGACCAGACCAAGGGGAGGGGUGCGGCCACCCUUGAGGCCCUUUUUCUUCUUUCCCGUAUGGCCCAAUAAGGCCCAAUACGUAUUCCCGUAACUCUCCGGUACUCCGAAAAAUACCCGAAUCACUCGGAACCUUUCCGAAGUCCGAAUAUAGUCGUCCAAUAUAUCGAUCUUUACGUCUCGACCAUUUCGAGACUCCUCGUCAUGUCCCCGAUCUCAUCCGGGACUCCGAACUCCUUCGGUACAUCAACAUACAUAAACUCAUAAUAAAACUGUCGUCGUAACUUUAAGCGUGCGGACCCUACGGGUUCGAGAACUAUGUAGACAUGACCGAGACACGUCUCCGGUCAAUAACCAAUAGCGGGACCUGGAUGCCCAUUUUGGCUCCCACAUAUUCUACGAAGAUCUUUAUCGGUCAGACCGCAUAACAACAUACGUUGUUCCCUUUGUCAUCAGUAUGUUACUUGCCCGAGAUUCGAUCGUCGGUAUCUCGAUACUUCAUUCAAUCUCGUUACCGGCAAGUCUCUUUACUCAUUCCGUAACACAUCAUCCCGCAACUAACUUAUUAGUCACAAUGCUUGCAAGGCUUAUAGUGAUGUGCAUUACCGAGUGGGCCCAGAGAUACCUCUCCGACAAUCGGAGUGACAAAUCCUAAUCUCGAAAUACGCCAACCCAACAAGUACCUUUGGAGACACCUGUAGAGCACCUUUAUAAUCACCCAUUUACGUUGUGACAUUUGGUAGCACACAAAGUGUUCCUCCGGUAAACGGGAGUUGCAUAAUCUCAUAGUCAGAGGAACAUGUAUAAGUCAUGAAGAAAGCAAUAGCAGCAUACUAAACGAUCGGGUGCUAAGCUAACGGAAUGGGUCAAGUCAAUCACGUCAUUCUCCUAAUGAGGUGAUCUCGUUAAUCAAAUGACAGCUUAUGUCUAUGGCUAGGAAACAUAACCAUCUUUGAUUAACGAGCUAGUCAAGUAGAGGCAUACUAGUGACACUGUGUUUGUCUAUGUAUUCACACAUGUAUUAUGUUUCUGGUUAAUACAAUUCUAGCAUGAAUAAUAAACAUUUAUCAUGAUAUAAGGAAAUAAAUAAUAACUUUAUUAUUGCCUCUAGGGCAUAUUUCCUUCAGUCUCCCACUUGCACUAGAGUCAAUAAUCUAGUUCACAUCGCCAUGUGAUUUAACAUGAAUAGUUCACAUCACCAUGUGAUUAACACCCAUGGUUCACAUCGUCAUGUGACCAUCACCCAAAGGGUUUACUAGAGUCAGUAAUCUAGUUCACAUCGCUAUGUGAUUAACACCCAAAGAGUACUAAGGUGUGAUCAUAUUUUACUUGUGAGAUAAUUUUAGUCAACGGGUCUGUCACAUUCAGAUCCGUAAGUAUUUUGCAAAUUUCUAUGUCUACAAUGCUCUGCAUGGAGCUACUCUAGCUAAUUGCUCCCACUUUCAAUAUGUAUCUAGACCGAGACUUAGAGUCAUCUAGAUUAGUGUCAAAACUUGCAUCGACGUAACCUUUUACGACGAGCCUUUUGUCACUUUCAUAAUCGAGAAACAUAUCCUUAUUCCAGUAAGGAUAAUUUUGACCGAUGUCCAGUGAUCUACUCCUAGAUCACUAUUGUACUCCCUUGCCAAAAUCAGUGUAGGGUAUACAAUAGAUCUGGUACACAGCAUGGCAUACUUUAUAGAACCUAUGGCCAAGGCAUAGGGAAUGACUUUCAUUCUCUUUCUAUCUUUUGCCGUGGUCGGGCUUUGAGUCUUUACUCAAUUUCACACCUUGUAACAUAGGCAAGAACUCUUUUCUUUGACUGUUCUAUUUUGAACUACUUCAAAAUCUUGUUAAGGUAUGUACUCAUUGAAAAACUCAUCAAGCGUCUUCAUCUAUCUCUAUAGAUCUUGAUGCUUAAUAUGUAAGCAGCUUCACCGAGGUCUUUCGUUGAAAAACUCAUUUCAAAACACUCCUUUAUGCUUUACAGAAUAAUUCUACAUUAUUUCCGAUCAACAAUAUGUCAUUCACAUAUACUUAUCAGAAAUGUUGUAGUGCUCCCACUCACUUUCUUGUAAAUACAGGCUUUACCGCAAGUCUGUAUACAACUAUAUGCUUUGAUCAACUUAUCAAAGCGUAUAUUCCAACUCCGAGAUGCUUGCACCAGUCCAUUGAUGGAUCGCUGGAGCUUGCAUAUUUUGUUAGCACCUUUAGGAUUGACAAAACCUUCUGGUUGUAUCAUAUACAACUCUUCUUUAAUAAAUCCAUCAAGGAAUGCAGUUUUGUUUAUCCCUUUGCCAGAUUUCAUAAAAUGCGGCAAUUGCUAACAUGAUUCGGACAGACUUAAGCAUAGAUACGAGGGAGAAACUCUCAUCAUAGUCAACAUCUUGAACUUGUCGAAAACCUUUUUGCGACAAUUCUAGCUUUGUAGAUAGUGAUACUACUAUCAGCGUCCGUCUUCCUCUUGAAAAUCCAUUUAUUCUCAAUUGCUUGCCGAUCAUCGGGCAAGUCAACCAAAGUCCACACUUUGUUCUCAUACAUGGAUCUCAUCUCAGACUUCAUGGCCUCAAGCCAUUUUGCGGAAUCUGGGCUCACCAUCGCUUCUUCAUAGUUUGUAGGUUCGUCAUGGUCUAGUAACAUAACCUCCAGAACAGGAUUACCGUACCACUCUGGUGCGGAUCUUACUCUGGUUUACCUACGAGGUUUGGUAGUAACUUGAUCUGAAGUUACAUGAUCAUCAUCAUUAACUUCCUCACUAAUUGGUGUAUAAGUCACAGGAACAGAUUUCUGUGAUCCAAUAAGGGAGCAGGUACAGUUACCUCAUCAAGUUCUACUUUCCUCCCACUCACAUCUUUCGAGAGAAACUCCUUCUCUAGAAAGGAUCCAUACUUAGCAACAAAUGUCUUGCCUUCGGAUCUGUGAUAGAAGGUGUACCCAACUGUCUCCUUUGGGUAUCCUAUGAAGACACAUUUCUCCGAUUUGGGUUUGAGCUUAUCAGGAUGAAAUUUUUUCACAUAAGCAUCGCAACCCCAAAAUUUUAAGAAACGACAACUUUGGUUUCUUGCCAAACCACAGUUCAUAAGGCGUCGUCUCAACAGAUUUUGAUGGUGCCCUAUUUAACGUGAAUGUAGCUGUCUCUAAUGCAUAACCCAAAACGAUAGUGGUAAAUUGGUAAGAGACAUCAUAGAUUGCACUAUAUCCAAUAAAGUACGGUUAUGACGUUCGGACACACCACUACACUGUGGUGUUCCAGGUGGCGUGAGUAGUGAAACUAUUUCACAUUGUUUUAACUGAAGGCCAAACUCGUAACUCAAAUAUUUUACCUCUGCGAUUAUAUCAUAGAAACUUUUAUUUUCUGCUGACGAUGAUUCUCCACUUCACUCUGAAAUUCUUUGAACUUUUCAAAUGUUUCAGACUUUGUGUUUCAUCAAGUAGAUAUACCCAUAUCUGCUCAAAUCAUCUGUGAAGGUCAGAAAAUAAUGAUACCUGCUACGAGCCUCAAUAUUCAUCGGACCACAUACAUCUGUAUGUAUGAUUUCCAACAAAUCUGUUGCUCUCUCCAUAGUUCCGGAGAACGACGUUUUAGUCAUCUUGCCCAUGAGGCACGGUUCGCAAGCAUCAAGUGAUUCCAAAAUCCCAUCAGUAUGGAGUUUCUUCAUGCGCUUUACACCAAUAUGACCUAAACGGCAGUACCACAAAUAAGUUGCACUAUCAUUAUUAACUUUGCAUCUUUUGGCUUCAAUAUUAUGAAUAUGUGUAUCACUACGAUCGAGAUCCAACAAACCAUUUUCGUUGGUGUGUAUGACCAUAAAGGUUUUAUUCAUGUAAACAGAACAACAAUUGUUCUCUAACUUAAAUGAAUAACCGUAUUGCAAUAAACAUGAUCAGAUCAUAUUCAUGCUCAACGCAAACACCAAAUAACACUUAUUUAGUUUCAACACUAAUCCCGAAAGUACAGGGAGUGUGCGAUGAUGAUCAUAUCAAUCUUGGAACUACUUCCAACACACAUCGUCACCUCGCCUUUUACUAGUCUCUGUUUAUUCUGCAACUCCCGUUUUCGAGUUACUCCUCUUUAGCAACUGAACCAGUAUCAAUUACCGAGGGGUUGCUAUAAACACUAGUAAAGUACACAUCAAUAAUCUGUAUAUCAAAUAUACCUUUGUUCACUUUUACUAGUCUCUGUUUAUUCUGCAACUCCCGUUUCGAGUUACUACUCUUAGCAACUGAACCAGUAUCAAUUACCGAGGGAUUGCUAUAAACACUAGUAAAGUACACAUCAAUAAUCUGUAUAUCAAAUAUACCUUUGUUCACUUUGCCAUCCUUCUUAUCCACCAAAUAGUUGGGGUAGUUCCGCUUCCAGUGACCAGUCCCUUUGCAGUAGAAGCACUUAGUCUCAGGCUUAGGACCAGACUUAGGCUUCUUCACUUGAGCAGCAACUUGCUUGCCGUUCUUUUUGAAGUUCCCCUUUUUCCCUUUGCCCUUUUCUUGAAACUAGCGGUCUCGUCAACCAUCAACACUUGAAGUGGUCUCGUCAACCAUCAACACUUGAUGUUUUUCUUGAUUUCUACCUUCGUCGAUUUCAACAUCACGAAGAGCUCGGGAAUUACUUUCGUCAUCCCUUGCAUACCAUAGUUCAUCACGAAGUUCUACUAACUUGGUGAUGGUGACUAGAGAAUUCUGUCAAUCACUAUUUUAUCUGGAAGAUAAACUCCCACUUGAUUCAAGCGAUUGUAGUACCCAGACAAUCUGAGCACAUGCUCACUAGUUGAGCGAUUCUCCUCCAUCUUUUUGCUAUAGAACUUGUUGGAGAUUUCAUAUCUCUCAACUCGGGUAUUUGCUUGAAAUAUUAACUUCAACUCCUGGAACAUCUCAUAUGGUCCAUGACGUUCAAAACGUCUUUGAAGUCCCGAUUCUAAGCCGUUAAGCAUGGUGCACUAAACUAUCAAGUAGUCAUCAUAUUGAGCUAGCCAAACGUUCAUAACGUCUGCAUCUGCUCCUGCAAUAGAUCUGUCACCUAGCGGUGCAUCAAGGACAUAAUUUUUCUGUGCAGCAAUGAGGAUAAUCCUCAGAUCACGGAUCCAAUCCGCAUCUUUGCUACUAACAUCUUUCAACAUAAUUUUUUUCUAGGAACAAAAAAUAAACACAGGGAAGCAACAACGCGAGCUAUUGAUCUACAACAUAAUUUGCAAAAUACUAUCAGGACUAAGUUCAUGAUAAAUUUAAGUUCAAUUAAUCAUAUUACUUAAGAACUCCCACUUAGAUAGACAUAUCUCUAAUCAUCUAAGUGAUUACGUGAUCCAAAGCAACUAAACCAUGUCCGAUUAACACGUGAGAUGGAGUAGUUUCAAUGGUGAACAUCACUAUGUUGAUCAUAUCUACUAUAUGAUUCACGCUCGACCUUUCGGUCUCUGUGUUCCGAGGCCAUAUCUGUAUAUGCUAGGCUCGUCAAGUUUAACCUGAGUAUUCCGCGUGUGCAACUGUUUUGCACCCGUUGUAUUUGAACGUAGAGCCUAUCACACCCGAUUAACACGUGGUGUCUCAGCACGAAGAACUUUUGCAACGGUGCAUACUCAGGGAGAACACUUUUAUCUUGAAAUUUUAGUGAGAGAUCAUCUUAUAAUGCUACCGUCAAUCAAAGCAAGAUAAGAUGCAUAAAGGAUUAACAUCACAUGCAAUCAAUAUAAGUGAUAUGAUAUGGCCAUCAUCAUCUUGUGCUUGUGAUCUCCAUCUCCGAAGCACCGUGCUUGUGAUCUCCAUCUCCGAAGCACCGUCAUGAUCACCAUCGUCACCGGCGCGACACCUUGAUCUCCAUCGUAGCAUCGUUGUCGUCUCGCCAACUUAUUGCUUUUACGACUAUCGCUACCGCUUAGUGAUAAAGUAAAACUAUUACAUGGCGAUUGCAUCUCAUACAAUAAAGCGACAACCAUAUGGCUCCUGCCAGUUGCUGAUGACUCGGUUACAAAACAUGAUCAUCUCAUACAACACAUUAUAUCACAUCAUGUCUUGACCAUAUCACAUCACAACAUGCCCUGCAAAAACAAGUUAGACGUCCUCUACUUUGUUGUUGCAAGUUUUACGUGGCUGCUACGGGCUUAGCAAGAACCGUUCUUACCUACGCAUCAAAACCACAACGAUAGUUUGUCAAGUUGGUGUUGUUUUAACCUUCGCAAGGACCGGGCGUAGCCACACUCGGUUCAACUAAAGUGAGAGAGACAGACACCCGCCAGUCACCUUUAAGCAACGAGUGCUCCGAACGGUGAAACCAGUCUCGCAUAAGCGUACGCGUAAUGUCGGUCCGGGCCGCUUCAUCUCACAAUACCGCUGAACCAAAGUAUGACAUGCUGGUAAGCAGUAUGACUUAUAUCGCCCACAACUCACUUGUGUUCUACUCGUGCAUAGCAUCAACGCAUAAAACUAGGCUCGGAUGCCACUGUUGGGGAACGUAGUAAUUUCAAAAAAUUUCCUAUGCACACGCAAGAUCAUGGUGAUGCAUAGCAACGAGAGGGGAGAGUGUUGUCCACGUACCCUCGUAGACCGACAGCGGAAGCGUUAUCACAACGCGGUUGAUGUAGUCGUACGUCUUCACGAUCCGACCGAUCAAGUACCGAACGCACGGCACCUCCGAGUUCUACACACGUUCAGCUCGAUGACGUCCCUCGAACUCCGAUCCAGCCGAGUGUUGAGGGAGAGUUUCGUCAGCACGACGGUGUGGUGACGAUGAUGAUGUUCCACCGACGCAGGGCUUCGCCUAAGCUCCGCAACGGUAUUAUCGAGGUGUAAUAUGGUGGAGGGGGGCACCGCACACGGCUAAGAGAUCUCAAGGAUCAAUUGUUGUGUCUCUGGGGUGCCCCCCUGCCCCCGUAUAUAAAGGAGCAAGGGGGAGGCAGCCGGCCAAGGGGAGAGGCGCGCCAUAGGGGGGGAGUCCUACUCCCACCGGGAGUAGGACUCCUCCUUUCCUUGUGGGAGUAGGAGAAGGGAAGGGGGAAGGAGAAAGAAGGAAGGGUGCGCCCCCCUUCCCUAGUCCAAUUCGGACCAGACCAUGGGGAGGGGUGCGGCCACCUUUUGAGGCCUUUCUCUCCUUUCCCGUAUGGCCCAUUAAGGCCCAAUACGAAUUCUCGUAACUCUCCGGUACUCCGAAAAAUACCCGAAUCACUCGGAACCUUUCCGAAGUCCGAAUAUAGUCGUCCAAUAUAUCGAUCUUUACGUCUCGACCAUUUCGAGACUCCUCGUCAUAUCCCCGAUCUCAUCCGGGACUCCGAACUCCUUCGGUACAUCAAAACUCAAUAAAACUGUCAUCGUAACGUUAAGCGUGCGGACCCUACGGGUUCGAGAACUAUGUAGACAUGACCGAGACACCUCUCCGGUCAAUAACCAAUAGCGGGACCUGGAUGCCCAUAUUGGCUCCCACAUAUUCUACGAAGAUCUUUAUCGGUCAGACCGCAUAACAACAUACGUUGUUUCCUUUGUCAUCGGUAUGUUACUUGCCCGAGAUUCGAUCGUCGGUAUCUCGAUACCUAGUUCAAUCUCGUUACCGGCAAGUCUCUUUACUCGUUCCGUAAUACAUCAUCCCGCAACUAACUCAUUAGUCACAAUGCUUGCAAGGCUUAUAGUGAUGUGCAUUACCGAGUGGGCCCAGAGAUACCUCUCCGACAAUCGGAGUGACAAAUCCUAAUCUCGAAAUACGCCAACCCAACAAGUACCUUCGGAGACACCUGUAGAGCACCUUUAUAAUCACCCAUUUACGUUGUGACGUUUGGUAGCACACAAAGUGUUCCUCCGGUAAACGGGAGUUGCAUAAUCUCAUAGUCAGAGGAACAUGUAUAAGUCAUGAAGAAAGCAAUAGCAACAUACUAAACGAUCGGGUGCUAAGCUAACGGAAUGGGUCAAGUCAAUCACGUCAUUCUCCUAAUGAGGUGAUCUCGUUAAUCAAAUGACAACUUAUGUCUAUGGCUAGGAAACAUAACCAUCUUUGAUUAACGAGCUAGUCAAGUAGAGGCAUAGUAGUGACACUCUGUUUGUCUAUGUAUUCACACAUGUAUUAUGUUUCCGGUUAAUACAAUUCUAGCAUGAAUAAUAAACAUUUAUCAUGAUAUAAGGAAAUAAAUAAUAACUUUAUUAUUGCCUCUAGGGCAUAUUUCCUUCACAUAUAUAGGCGAAAGAAGUCGGUCAGGGGAGCCACGAGGGGCCCACAAGGGUGGGAGGCGCGCCCAGGGGGGCAGGCACGCCUCCCUGCCUCGUGGCCACCUCGAAGCUUCCCUGACGUCUACUCCAAGUCUCCUGGAUUGCUUCCGUUCCAAAAAUAACUCUCCCGAAGGUUUCAUUCCGUUUGGACUCUGUUUGAUAUUCCUUUUCUUCGAAACACUGAAAUAGGCAAGAAAACAGAAACUGGCACUGGGCUCUGGGUUAAUAGGUUAGUCCCAAAAAUCAUAUAAAAGUGUUAAGUAAAGCCCAUAAACAUCCAAAACAGAUAAUAUAAUAGCAUGAAUACUUCAUAAAUUAUAUAUACGUUGGAGACGUAUCAGCAUCCCCAAGCUUAAUUCCUGCUCGUCCUCGAGUAGGUAAAUGAUAAAAGAAAUAAUUUAUGAAGUGUGAAUGCUAGAAGGUGCACAAGUUUGAUCAAUGAUAAUUUCAAUCACCUUUUCUAGCAUCAUUAUAUGUCAUAACAGUAGCCCAUCUCAUAAAACUUCUCAUGAUCAAGUAACAAGCUAUUCAUAUGUUAAAGCAUAGACCAUAAACUUUCUUUAAAACUAACAAACAGUGCUCUUAGUCAUCAAACAAUUGCAAUUCAUCUUAUUUUCAGGAAGGGUCUAUGUCAGAGCUUUGAUUUAGCAAACUCCACAUACUCAACUAUCAUAUAGUCUUCCAUGAUUGCUACCACUCAAAGCAUAUUUUUAGAACAAAUAGCAUCCAUCGAACACAGAGAAAGAUAGGGGCUUAAUGUUUCGCCUCCCAACUUAUUUAUCAUAUAGAUAAUUGUCAACAAUAAUAAUUCAUGAUCAAAUAUAUUUGAAUGGCCAUAUAUGCUUAGAUCUUCCAUCACAUGAUGCUUGCCAACUAAAGAGUAGGUUGGAAUGAGAAGGAAUACUACUGACUCUUGCAUAAAAGUAAAAGAUAGGCCCUUCGCAGAGGGAAGCAGGGAUUUGCAGAGGUGCCAGAGCUUGAAGCUUUUAAAACAGAGAUGAAAAUAAUUUUGAGAGGUAUGCUUUCAUUGUCAACAUAACAACCAAGAGUUCCCAAUAUCUUCCAUUCUACAUACAUUAUAGGCGGUUCCCAAACAGAAGGGUAAAGAUUUUACUCCCCCUCCACCAACAAUCACACUCCAUGGCUUGUCCGAAACAACGGGUGCCAUCCAACUUAUCAACCAUCCUAGGGGAGUUUUGUUUAAAUUAUUUGCGAUUUUGUUUUUGAUCUUUUGAUCAUAGGACUGGGCAUCCCAGUUACCAGCCAUUUUCUCGUGAAUGAUGAGCGGAGUCCACUCAUCGUGAGAAUAACCCACCUAGCAUGGAAGAUACUGACAGCCCCUGGUCGCUACAUGAGCAAUUCGGGCAUACAAAAUAGAUUAUUAUUUGAAGGUUUAGAGUUUGGUACAUGCAAAUUUACUUGGAACAGCAGGUAAAUACCGCAUAUAGGUAGAUAUGGUGGACACUCACGGAAGAAACUUGGUUCAAGGAUUUUGGAUACACAAGCAGUAUUCCCGCUUAGUACAGAAAUUUAGGCUAGCAAAAGAUUCUAAAUAGCAAGCACCACAUGUUGAAGGAUCAAUAACAAUAUAACUUCUAUACAAAUAUACCCAAGCAUAACUCAUUAUGUUGUCUUCCUUGUCCAAAUUCAACUAUUUGCUCAAGUUUGAAAAUAAUUAAUGGGGCUCACAAUCAUAGAAGAUGUCCAAGAUAGUAUAUUUAUAUGUGAGAUCUCUCUUCCUUCAUUAUUCUUUCAUGAAUUGUUCAAGUGACCAAUACAAAGUUUGCUAACCUUCAAAAAAAUUACCACCUCUACUUCUUAUAUGUGAAGUCAUUAUUCCCCAUGGGAUAAGCAUAUGAAACAUAUAUAAUUUCAGAUUUAUGAUAUUCAAAUCAUUCAACCAUUUACUCAUAGGAUAUAAGUGAAGCACACGAGUAAAUGACAAACUACUCCAAAAAGAUAUAAGUGAAGAUCAAUGAGUAGCUAAAUAAUUAUGUAGCUAUGUGAAGACUCUCUCUCAUUUAAGAAUUUCAGAUCUUGUGAUAUUAUUCAAACAGCAAGCAAAACAAAAUAAAAUGACAUUUCAAGGAUAGCACUCAUCAUGUGAAGAAGCAAAAACUUAGGCUCAACCGAUACUAACCGAUAAUUGUUGAAGAAGAAAGGUGGGAUGCCUACCGGGGCAUCCCCAAGCUUAGAUGCUUGAGACUUCUUGAAAUAUUAUCUUGGGAUGCCUUGGGCAUCCCCAAGCUUGAGCUUUUGUGUCUCCUUAAUUCCUUUCAUAUCAUGGUUUCCUAAAUCUCGAAAGCUUCAUCCACACCAAACUCAACAAGAACUCGUGAGAUAAGUUAGUAUAAACCAAUGCAAAAACCUUAUCAUUCUCUACUGUAGCAAAUCACAAAAAUUAUUAUUCAACAUUGCAUACUAAAUGUCUCUGCAUAUUUAAUACUCCUAUCCUCAAAUAGAAUCAUUAAACAAGCAAACAUAUGCAAACAAUGCAAACAUAACAGCAAUCUACCAAAACGGUACAGUCUGUAAAGAAUGCAAGAGUAUCAAUACUUACCUAACUCGAAACAUUAAGAAAUUCUACCACACUGUAGAAAAUUUAUCAGAGCUUAUUAUGCAAAAAGUUUCAGCAUUUUAUCAUUUUCUAACUUUUCUAAGGAAUUUUUGCAACAGCGGUAAACUUUCUGUUUUGAAACAGCAACAUGUAUACUUGCAAGAUAAGCAUGGUAAAAGCUAUCCUUGACAUUUUUAUUGAAAAUAAAGAUGCAAAACAUUAUUCUAAAUAACAACAAGCAAAUACUAACAAAAUAAAAUGACGCUCCAAGCAAAACACAUAUCAUGUGGUGAAUAAAAAUAUAGCUCCAAGUAAAGUUACCGAUGAACGAAGACGAAAGAGGGGAUGCCAUCCGGGGCAUCCCCAAGCUUAGGCUCUUGGUUGUCCUUGAAUAUUGGUACAUACCCUCAGCCCCGAGGGUGAACUACUCCCUCCUCGUCAUGGAGAGCGUCGGGAUGAUGAAGAUGGCCACCGGAGAGGGAUCCCCCCCUCCGGCAGGAUGCCGGAACGGGUCUAGAUUGGUUUUCGGUGGCUCUGGAGGUUUGCGGCGGCAGAACUCCCGAUCUAUUGUGUUCCCCGAUGUUUUUAGGGUAUAUGGACAUAUAUAGGCGAAAGAAGUCGGUCAGGGAAGCCACGAGGGGCCCACGAGGGUGGGAGGCGCGCCCAGGGGGCAGGCGCGGCUCUGCCUCGUGGCCACCUCGAAGCUUACCUGACAUCUACUCCAGGUCUCCUGGAUUGCUUCCGUUCCAAAAAUAACUCUCCCGAAGGUUUCAUUCUGUUUGGACUCCGUUUGAUAUUCCUUUUCUUCGAAACACUGAAAUAGGAAAGAAAACAGAAACUGGCACUGGGCUCUGGGUUAAUAGGUUAGUCCCAAAAAUCAUAUAAAAGUGUUAAGUAAAGCCCAUAAACAUCCAAAACAGAUAAUAUAAUAGCAUGAAUACUUCAUAAAUUAUAGAUACGUUGGAGACGUAUCACAUACUCAGGGAGAACACUUAUACCUUGAAUUUAGUUAAGGGAUCAUCUUAUAAUGCUACCGCUGUACUAAGCAAAAUAAGAUGCAUAAAAGAUAAACAUCACAUGCAAUCAAAAUAUGUGACAUGAUAUGGCCAUCAUCAUCUUGUGCUUUUGAUCUCCAUCUCCAAAGCAUCGUCAUGAUCUCCAUCAUCACCGGCUCGACACCUUGAUCUCCAUCGUAGCGUCGUGGUCGUCUUGCCAACUAUUGCUUCUACAACUAUCGCUAACGCGUAGUGAUAAAGUAAAGCAAUUACAUGGCGUUUGCAUUUCAUACAAUAAAGUGACAACCAUAAGGCUCCUUCCAGUUGCCGAUAACUUUUACAAAACAUGAUCAUCUCAUACAACAACGUAUAUCACAUCAUGUCUUGACCAUAUCACAUCACAACAUGCCCUGCAAAAACAAGUUAGACGUCCUCUACUUUGUUGUUGCAAGUUUCACGUGGCUGCUAUGGACUUCUAGCGAGAACCGUUCUUACCUACGCAUUGAUAUGUCUCCAAAAUAUCUAUAACUUUUUAUUGUUCCAUGCUAUAUUAUAUUCUGUUUUGGAUGUUUAUUGGGCUUUAUUAUACACUUUUAUAUUAUUUUUGGGACUAACCUAUUAACCGGAGGCCCAGCCCAAAUUGUUGUUUUUUACCUAUUUCAGUGUUUCGCAGAAAAAGAAUAUCAAACUUUGCGCGCACGAGAUUAGUUUUCAUAAAUCACAGGAACGUGAUUUUCAGUUGAUUAUUCUUGCAUUAGAUCAAUAAACAAAUUAUCCAGAACUUCCUAAUUUGGUGGAAUUUUUUGCGUUCCAUAAGUUUGCGUUAGUUACAGAUUACUACAGACUGUUCUGUUUUUUGACAGAUUCUGUUUUUCGUGUGUUGUUUGCUUAUUUUGAUGAAUCUAUGGCUAGUAAAAUAGUUUAUAAACCAUAGGGAAGUUGGAAUACAGUAAGUUUAACACCAAUAUAAAUAAAGAAAGAGUUCAAUAUAGUACCUUGAAGUGGUGUUUUGUUUUCCUUCGCUAACGGAGCUCAUGAGAUUUUCUGUUAAGUUUUGUGUUGUGAAGUUUUCAAGUUUUGGGUAAAGAUUUGAUGGAUUAUGGAACAAGGAGUGGCAAGAGCCUAAGAUUGGGGAUGCCCAUGGCACCCCAAGAUAAUCUAAGGACACCAAAAGGCCAAAGCUUGGGGAUGCCCCGGAAGGCAUCCCCUCUUUCGUCUUCGUCCAUCGGUAACUUUACUUGGAGCUAUAUUUUUAUUCACCACAUGAUAUGUGUUUUGCUUGGAGCGCCUUGUAUGAUUUGAGCCUUUGCUUUUUAGUUUACCACAAUCAUCCUUGCUUUACACACCUUUUGAGAGAGACACACAUGAUUCGGAAUUUAUUAGAAUACUCUAUGUGCUUCACUUAUAUCUUUUGAGCUAUAUAGUUUUUGCUCUAGUGCUUCACUUAUAUCUUUUAGAGCACGGUGGUGGAUUUGUUUUAUAGAAACUAUUGUUCUCUCAUGCUUCAUUUAUAUCAUUUUGAGAGUCCUACAGAACAGCAUGGUAAUUUUCUUUAAUCGUGAAAUUAAUCCUAAUAUGCAAGGUAUUCAACAUUAGUAAAAAUCUCUCUUAUGAGUGCAUUGAAUACUAAGAAAAGUUUGAUGCUUGAUGAUUGUUUUGAGAUAUGGAGGUAGUAAUAUUAAAGUUGUGCUAGUUGAGUACUUGUGAAAUUGAGAAAUACUUGUGUUGAAGUUUGCAAAUCCCGUAGCAUGCACGUAUGGUAAACGUUGUGUAACAAAUUUGAAACAUGAGGUGUUCUUUGAGUGUCAUCCCUUGUGUGGAGGACGGGGGCGCGCGAUGGUUAACUCCUACCAACCUCCCCCCUAGGAGCAUGCGUGUAAUGCUUGGUUUUGAUGACUUGUAGAUUUUUGCAAUAAGUAUGUGAGUUCUUUAUGACUAAUGUUGAGUCCAUGGAUUAUACGCACUCUCACCCUUCCAUCAUUGCUAGCCUCUUCGGUACCGUGCAUUGCCUUUUCUCACCUUGAGAGUUUGUGCAAACUUCGCCGGUUCAUCCAAACCCCGUGAUAUGAUACGCUCUAUCACACAUAAACCUCCUUAUAUCUUCCUCAAAACAGCCACCAUAUCUACCUAUUAUGGCAUUUCCAUAGCCAUUCCGAGAUAUAUUGCCAUGCAACUUUCCACCGUUCCGUUUAUCAUGACACGUUUCAUCAUUAUCAUAUUGCCUUGCAUGAUCAUGUAGUUGACAUCGUAUUCGUGGCAAAGCCACCAUGCAUAUUAUUUCAUACAUGUCACUCUUGAAUCAUUGCCCAUCCUGGUACACCGCCGGAGGCAUGCAUAUAGAGUCAUACUUUGUUCUAGUAUCGAGUUGUAAUCAUUGAGUUGUAAAUGAAUAGAAGUGUGAUGAUCAUCAUUCAUAGAGCAUUGUCCCUAAAAAGGCCAAAAGAAAAAAAAGUAAGGCCCAAAAAAAGAAAAAAAAAGAAAUAAUAAAAAUAAAAAGGGGGUAAUGCUACUAUCCUUUUCCAUACUUGUGCUUCAAAGUAGCACCAUGUUCUUCAUGAUAGAGAGUCUCUUGCUUUGUCACUUUCAUAUACUAGUGGGAAUUUUUCGUUAUAGAACUUGGCUUGUAUAUUCCUACAAUGGGCUUCCUCAAAUGCCCUAGGUCUUCAUGAGCAAGCAAGUUGGAUGCACACCCACUUAGUUGCAUUUUGUUGAGCAUUCAUACAUUUAUAGCUCUAGUGCAUCCGUUGCAUGGCAAUCCCUACUCCUCACAUUAACAUCAAUUUAUGGGCAUCUCCAUAGCCCGUUGAUUAGCCGCGUUGAUGUGGGACUAUCUUCUCCUUUUUGUCUUCUCCACAUAACCCCCAUCAUUAUUCUAUUCCACCCAUAGUGCUACGUUCAUGGCUCACGCUCAUGUAUUGCGUGAAAAUUGAAAGAGUUUGAAAAUUCUUAAGUAUGAAACAAUUGCUUGGCUGAAACCGGGGUUGUGCAUGAUUUUAGUAUUUUGUGUGAUGAAGAUGGAGCAUAACCAAACUAUAUGAUUUUGUAGGGAUGAACUUUCUUUGGCCAUGUUAUUUUGAGAAGACAUAAUUGCUUAGUUAGUAUGCUUGAAGUAUUAUUACUUUUAUGUCAAUAUUAAACCAUUAUCUUGAAUCUUUCGGAUCUGAAUAUUCAUACCACAAUUAAGAGGGUUACAUUAAAAGCCAUGCUAAGUAGCAUUCCACAUCAAAAAUUCUGUUUUUAUCAUUUACCUACUCGAGGACGAGCAGGAAUUAAGCUUGCGGAUGCUUGAUACGUCUCCAACGUAUCUAUAAUUUUUUAUUGUUCCAUGCUAUAUUAUAUUCUGUUUUGGAUGUUUAUUGGGCUUUAUUAUACACUUUUAUAUUAUUUUUGGGAUUAACCUAUUAACCGGAGGCCCAGCCCAAAUUGUUGUUUUUUGCCUAUUUCAGUGUUUCGCAGAAAAACAAUAUCAAACGGAGUGAAACCUUCGGGAACGUGAUUUUCGGAACAAACGUGAUCCAGAGGACUUGGAGUCUACGUAAAGCAAUCAACGAGGAAGGCACGAGGUAGGGGGGCGCGCCUACCCCCUGGGCGUGCCCUCCACCCUCGUGGGGCCCACGUUGCUCCACCGACGUACUUGUUCCUCCUAUAUAUACCCAUAUACCCUGAAAACAUCAGAGGAGGAGCCAAAACCCUAUUUCCACCGCCGCAACCUUCUGUACCCGUGAGAUCCCAUCUUGGGGCCUUUUCCGGCGCUCCGCCGGAGGGGGCAUUGAUCACGGAGGGCUUCUACAUCAACACCAUAGCCUCUCCGAUGAUGUGUGAGUAGUUUACCUCAGACCUUCGGGUCCAUAGUUAUUAGCUAGAUGGCUUCUUUUCUCUCUUUGGAUCUCAAUACAAAGUUCUCCUUGUUUCUCUUGGAGAUCUAUUCGAUGUAAUCUUCUUUUGCAGUAUGUUUGUCGAGAUCCGAUGAAUUGUGGGUUUAUGAUCAAGUUUAUCUAUGAACAAUAUUUGAAUCUCCUAUGAAUUCUGUUAUGUAUGUCGUGGAAUUGUCACGGCAGAUGUCCUUGAGCUAGGACUUAGUCGUGGAGCCAUCGCAACUAGGAAGCUUGAAGGGGUUAAUGCGGGACAAGGAACACGAGGGUUUGUACUGGUUCGGCCCCUUACGGUGAAGGUAAAAGCCUACGUCCAGUUUGAGGUGGUAUUGAUUAGGGUUACGAUCACCAGGGAGCUAAACUGCUAUGCCCGGCUUUCGAUGAGAUUGUUCUCCUCUCUCAACCGCUGCCGGGUCGUCCCUUUAUAUAGGGAGGCUGACGCCCAGCAGCCCUCAGAGUCCCGGCCGGCUCAUAAGAGUGUCCAGCUCGGACUCUCAAUCAUACUUGCCUUAUACUACAAGUUCUACCAUAGUAAUGAUUGUAACUACGGGCCCUCAGCCACAUCCGGGUCUUAAGCCCAUCUCUGGCCCAUCGUCUUCAAGCUUGGUUCCGGGCUUCUGGCAACGACCAUAUGAGUAACCCGGCCCCUCUUGGCGGGUGACUCUAAGGUCUAUAUCCUCAACAUUAGGCCCCAGAUUGAUUUGAGCCGGCUCAUGUCAAUCUUCAAUCCUUCCGACAGAAAAAAUCUCCGGCUUACCAUUCGUGUGAAGGCCAUAACCCGGCGUGACGUCAUCCUCUGGACUCCGGAUAAUCCGCCGUGACGUCAUCGUCCAUUACGCCCGUUUUUUACUCCGCCAGAUCCGCAACGGAUCUUUUCCUUUACUGUCAUCCCGAAAAUCGAGGCGUUGUGAGGGGAGAUAACCACGCCACGAUCUCCUUGAUUCUCGUGCCCGCUUUAUGAGCUCGCCUUAUAAAUAGGCCGGCCCGACGGGCUUCUCUACCACCCUUCUUUCUCCUCGCGCCACUGCCUCUCUGCCUGAGCUCGCACUCCGCCGCCGUCGUCUCGCCUCCGGUCUUCGUCCACCUUGGCCGUUGCAUCACCCUGACUCGGACCAGACAAACGGCGGCGACCCCCGCACCUUUUCAGCUCCGGUAAGUCCUGCUUGACCUGUAGAGUAGAUCUGCCGUAGGAUUUGCCCACGUUCUUCGUGUUCGUCGCCAUUGUCCGCAAGCUUCGGUAGUUCUCAUAGUUACUGCCCUUGUUUGAUCUUAGAUUUGCAUAGAAUCAGUGCGGCGGCUGUUUGGCACUUAUUUCAAAUGCCAGUAGGUCUCUUUCCACUGCAUAACGGCUUCAUUCGAGCUCAAGAACAUCCUCUCGUAUGUUUCUAGGUCUAGAAAUUUUUCAUUUCACCCGACCAUUUUGAUCCAAAAAAAGUUACUGCAAUAUGUGAAACCUAUUUUACCACACUUAGUAAAAACUGCAACCAUUGAAUCUUGGCGGCUUACAAUUCCGGUUUAAAGAAACCACGCGCCGUAGAAUCCUCCGGCUUAAAGAAAACCAUGCUUCGUAGAACCUCCGGCUUAACUGUGAUAAGGCCGUAGAUAAUCAACUUAUUCUGAAUGCCCCUGCGGCUUAAAUAACCCGCUGUACUUAGGUAUAUACCAUUAGUCCCCUUCAUAAGCCGCCACCUUAGCUUUGAACUAUAGAUCUCCUCCGGCUUAUAAUUAACCCAGAUGUUUUUUCCUUUUUGUCAUAGACUGCCGACUUUCACCAUGCCUCCCAAAGCUCCCAUUACUUGCAACUGGAUGAGGUCCAAUGUGACCAACGAGACCCUAGCUGAUUUCGUUAAGUCAGGGUAUCUGCCCAAGAAAGACAUCAUGUCCUACCGUGCCCCUGACCCGGCAGAAGAGAGGCCACAGCCAAAGGAUGGGGAGGUAGUGAUUUUUGCUGAUCACAUGAGCCGGGGCUUCGCACCGCCCGGCUCAAAGUUUUUUAGGGACGUGCUCAACUUCUUUGACUUGCGGCCUCAAGACAUAGGACCCAACUCAGUGUCCAACAUCUGCAAUUUCCAAGUCUUCUGCGAGGUUUACCUUGGAGAAGAACCUAGUCUGCUGCUCUUCAGAGAGCUUUUUUAUUUGAACCGUCAGAAUGAAUGCGCCAAUGGGCCAAGUCUGGAGUUAGGUGGUAUCUCCAUCCAGCGGCGUAGGGACUGCCUUUUCCCUUACGCAGAGCCGCCGAGCCACCCAAAGGACUGGAACAUGACUUGGUUCUACUGCCAAGAUACGUCCCCGGCUGAUGAAAGCCCGCUGCCCGGCUUUCGCCCAACACGCCUGGAGCCGACUCACCCACUGUCAGACAAGCUGUCUCAAGCAGAGCGCCAGCCCCUGCUCCCUACUAUCAACAAGAUCAAAGCUCUCCUGGGCAAUGGUCUGAACAGAAUCGACCUGGUCCGGGUCUGGAUCUCAUGGCAGGUGAUCCCAUUGAGCCGCCGCCCCGGCUUAAUGUGCGAGUACACAGGACGAAAGGAUGACCCUCAGAGACACAGCCGCAAUGAUCUUCCAAAAGACGUUGCAGAGGAGAUGACCAAGGCUCUUUUAAACGAGAGCCUGGCAGACUGCGAAAGGACCGGGUUAGCCCCCUUCUGCAAGACCAACCCAGCCCCAGCGGUAAGCCGCUGACUUUAACUUUUUAUCUUCUUCUGCAUAUAACCUUCAUCUGAACCGUUUUAAGAAUUCAUCAUUGUAUUUUUCAGGCUGAUGAUAAGUUCUGGCGGGUCAAAUAUGACCAUGAGGCGGCCAAGAAGGCCAGGAAGGCGAAGAAAGCCGCCAAGAAAGCCGCCCCUCGCAAAAAAGGAAGCAGGCCUACUGCUUCGGAGCUGAUGCAAUUAAGCGACAGCUCCGAGUCAGAGGUAACCCCUAAGCCUUUAAGUUCUUGCUAUAUUUGUUGUUUGUUGCUGUCCGCCUUAUCAACACUUGCUCAUUGACAGGAUGACACCGGCGCCAGUAACCCGGUGGUUGAAGAGGUAAUGUCACUUUCCUCCGACUCGGAGCCCUUGCCACAGCUGAAAAUCCGAAGGGUAACCCGGAAAGUAAGCUUUUCACAUCCUUUAGCUUAUCAAGACCCUCAAUUUAUUUUGAAGCGACAGGUUCAUGAAAGCCGGCGUCACACCCGGACCAACAAGGACACCGACCUCUUCGCCGGGUUACCCGACGCAACAAGGAAGCGCCGAACUGAGGUUUUUUCCCACUUGUACCCUUUUCAUCCGUUGGCGGGUGUUAUCCGUCAGCCACUCAAUUCUUCUGACUCCAAUUAUCAGGAGACCUCCCCUUCUUCGGGAGACUCUAUGCAGUCGAGUCUUCCGACUUUCAAGACCGCGCCCGGGUAAUGACAACCAUCUCAUAUUAUACUUGUCUGUACUUACUUUCUUUGUGCUAAAUGUUUCUGUCCUUUCAGUGCCCAGGCAAAGCUCACCAAGAGAGCGAAGAAGACCAAGUCAGCCGGAGUGCCGGAUUUACCUGAACCGGAGGUGACGGCUCAAGAACCGCCAGCUGCCUCCGCCCCCGAAGCCACCACUCCAAUGGACACGGCACCUGAGGCCACUGCCCCGACUACCAAGGCAACGACCGAAGCUUCUGUUAACCCGGAGGCCUCCAGCUCGGCUCCACCAGCAGACGACCCGGACGUGGUAAUCACCCGGACAUAGUUCGUUGAGCCGGGGAGACCUACCGUGCUGGCCAAGUGCUCCGCUAAGGGGGAGCUGCUGCAGCCCCACCGGGUGAACCUGGACCUCUCCGACUACACCAACCUGAGCAUUGGAGAGCUCGUCUCUGGCUACAUCAGUCAAGUGCACAAGAGCCGGGACGCAGAGGUCGCCAUGGUGAACCAAAUCCAGCAAAAAUCUGAGGUAUCAUUCUGCUGUCCUCUUACUUACUGCAUAGUUACCUUUGCCAUGAUAGCCCCCAAGUCGACGACUUAUGAUUGAAUAUGUUGUAGACUUAGGUUCCGGCUUACUCAAUUGAGCCGGCAGUAUGUAGAUAGAUACAUUCAAUAUGCAUUAGCCCCCAAGUGCCAAGUGUCUUUGCUUGGAAAACGCUUGGGACUUGUAUAAUGACUGUGAAUAACCCGGAAAUGUACGCAGGCUGUUGGCAAGAAGCUAGAGGCGGACCUUGCGGAUCUCAAGAGCCGGCUGAAGACGCAGGAGAUGGAGACCCGGAAGGCAAACGCCAAGUUUGUAUCCAGCAUCGCCGCUCAAGAGAAGCUGAAGACAGAAUUUGAUGCUGAGCGGAAAGCCUGGGCCGAAGAGAAGGCCGCACUGGUGACCCAGGCGGAACAGGCGGAGAAGGCUCUCUCCGAAAAGACCGCCGAGCUCUCCAGCCUAAAGCGCCAGGUUUCCCAAAUGGUGGCCGCCAUCUUCGGUAAGUCGCCUCACCGGCUUUCAUCAAGUUUAGAAUGUUUAUAUCUCAUGAUUCAUCCUUGUCGCCGACUUAUCUGAUUCUGUUAAACAGGUCCCAGAAGUGCGAACCUCAACCAGAGUGUGGUCACCAAGCUAAAGGCCGUGUAUACCCUGGUGGAACAGCUCUACACCGGGUCACAGCGUGCCUUAGCUGUGGUGGCCCUAUCCAACGAGGUGCCGACUCACCUGGCAGAAGUCCUGCGCCGGCUCGCCGUUCUGCCUCAGCGGAUCCAAGAGCUGCGACGGGCCUCUGCGAGAGCCAGAGCGAUCGCCGCGCUGAGCCGGGCCAAGGCAUUCCUGUCGGAGUUAGACCCGGCGAACAUCGCCCUUGGCUACCCCAGCCUGAAGGAAGACGGCUCGGCUUUCGAUCAGAAGGAUUUCGCAGCUUGCGUGAAGGCGGUACGCCCGGUGGCCACCCUUAUCGGGAACGACACAGACCUGACCAAGUACCAGCCGGGUUAUGAUGCGGAGAAUCAGAGGAUUCCAACCCCUCGCUAUGAAGCCCUCAACUUGAUCCCGCCGGCUCGUCAGCACACCUUCGCCCCGGAGAUUGACCCGGCCGGGUUAAUUGACGAGGAAGCCCAAUUCGAAGCGCUCAGCGGCAUCGACUGGAAGUCAUCAACCUUCCAGGUCUUGGGCUCAGCUGGAGGAGAGGAUAGGAAUGAGCCGGAGACUUCAACUCAGCGGGCAUCAUAACUCGGCUGGCGGUUUACCAAACAAUGUUCCACCCUUUUUAGACUUGAUGAGUUUUGUAACAGAGUAGGUGCAACAGUUCAUCUUUGCCGUGCCAUCGUGCACGUAUUGAAUGCGAAAGUCUUUUGAAGUUGUCCCUUUGAUAUUUCUCCGGGUCAUGAUCAAUCCUUUGUUUUUCUUAACCUCAAAGAGGUGCCUUUAAUUAUCCUGCAUAGAAAGGCAAAUCACAAGUCUUGGGGCGUCUUACCGUCCUGAGAAUCAUAAAUUUUAGAUGACCCGGAAUAUGAAGCGAAAAGGACUUGCAUUCAAUAGUAUCCUGAACACAGCCGUAAGAACAUGCUGAACGGCCUACAAGUAUACCUCCGGCUUAGAUAAUCCGGAUGAGAAAGUUGGUACCGCAACUCCGGUUUACCUGCCUUAUAACACCCAUUGCGUUCAACAAUACUGUAAACCAAGGUUAAGCCGGAAAAGUGAGACCCGGCUGUACACACCUUGACAUAAUCAAAGAAAACUUGUGAUAAAGCAGAAGAACUUAGGGGCUUCCGGUUCGAAUACGACCAGAGACUCGGCCCAAAGGGGUUAAGCUAAGAUUCGGAUACGAUCAUAUAGCCCCCAGUGGGUGUGGCGAUGCCAAUCAAGAGGGUACCGACAGCUAUGUUCUCUUUGGUUCGAAUACGACCCAUGUUUGAACAGGAAGCCCCCAAGUGAUUUUAAGAAUUGUUUAACGACGUUGAUUCGAAUAUGAUCCACGUCGGUUCUCAGAGGGGUUAAACUAUGAUUCAAAUAUGACCAAAGGUAACCUCCCAAUGAGCUCGGCACUUUGCCAAUCAAAUGGGUAUCGACAGCUAUGUUCUCUUUGGUUCGAAUACGACCCAUAUUUGAACAGGAAGCCCCCAAGUGACUUUACUGCUUACGGCUAGAUUCGAAUACGAUCAUAAGCCGGGUCCUCCUUUAAGUCAUCAUGUAAUCUUGUAAUAAAAACAACACGUGCAUAUUUGGAGGAGAAAGAAGGACAGAGGUCCUGCUUUAUUGCUUAUCAUAAUAUAUACAUGGCUGAGAGAAAUAUGUACACCACGAGAGCUGGUGGCUCAAGUGUAGUAAGGCCGAAGCUAAGCUAUGUUCCACGGCCGACGGGUCUCUUCCUCCGAUUUACGUGAAUCUUUGUGCUCCCGAAUGUCAAUGAGGUAAUAUGACCCGUUGUGCAAGUUCUUGCUGACCACAAAGGGCCCUUCCCAAGGUGGGGAUAACUUGUGUGCAUCUAUUUGAUCCAGGAUGAGCCGGAGCACAAGGUCGCCUUCCUGGAAGACCCGGGAUUUGACCCGGCGGCUAUGAUAACGGCGCAGGUCUUGUUGGUAAAUCGCUGAACGGGCUGCUACCACAUCACGCUGUUCGUCCAACAAGUCAAGAGCAUCUUGGCGCGCCUGUUCAUUAUCCGUCUCAACAUAAGCCGCCACGCGAGGUGAGUCGUGACGGAUGUCACUGGGGAGGACUGCUUCUGCUCCAUAAACCAUGAAGAAAGGCGUGAAGCCUGUAGACCUGUUAGGAGUAGUGUUGAUGCUCCAUAAGACGGAGGGCAACUCCUCCACCCAACAACCCGGCGUCCGUUGCAGAGGGACCAAAAGCCGGGGCUUGAUGCCCUUCAGAAUCUCCUGAUUAGCUCUCUCAGCUUGACCAUUGGAUUGAGGAUGAGCCACCGAGGAAACAUCAAGUCGGAUAUGCUCUCGUUGACAAAACUCUUCCAUGGCGCCUUUGGAGAGAUUGGUGCCAUUGUCAGUUAUAAUGCUGUGUGGAAAACCAAAGCGAAAGAUCACCCUUUUCAUAAACUGAACUGCCGUGGCUGCAUCACACUUGCUAACUGGCUCCGCUUCAACCCACUUGGUGAAUUUGUCAACUGCCACCAAGAGGUGGGUCUUCUUAUCCUUGGACCUUUUAAAAGGCCCAACCAUAUCAAGCCCCCAGACCGCAAAGGGCCAAGUGAUUGGGAUCAUCCUCAGCUCCUGAGCUGGCACAUGAGCCCGUCGUGAGAACCUCUGGCAACCAUCACAUUUACUGACCAAGUCCUCUGCAUCAGCAUGAGCCGUCAACCAAUAAAAACCAUGACGAAAAGCCUUGGCCACAAGGGACUUUGAGCCGGCGUGAUGGCCACAAUCCCCUUCAUGGAUCUCACGCAAGAUCUCUUGACCUUCCUCAGGGGAGACACAACGCUGAAAUGCUCCUGUAACACUGCGAUGAUGCAACUCGCCAUCGAUAACGAUCAUUGACUUAGCCCGCCGGGUUAUUUGCCUGGCCAAAGCUUCAUCCUCAGGCAACUCGCCCCUGGUCAUAUAAGCCAGAUAUGGCAUUGUCCAGUCUGGUAUGACAUGAAGAGCCGCCGCCAGUCGUGCCUCCGGGUCAGGGACAGCCAAGUCUUCCUCUGUAGGCAACUUAACCGAAGGGUUAUAAAGGACGUCCAGGAAAGUGUUAGGCGGCACCGGCUUUCUCUGAGAGCCUAGCCGGCUUAGAGCAUCAGCCGCCUCGUUCUUCCUGCAAUCAAUGUGCUCUACUUGGUAGCCCUGAAAGUGCCCAGCAAUGGCAUCAACCUCACGGCGAUAAGCCGCCAUGAGAGGAUCCUUAGAGUCCCACUUGCCUGAUACUUGUUGAGCCACCAAGUCUGAGUCACCAAAGCACCUUACCUGGCUCAAGCUCAUCUCCUUAGCCAUCCGAAGACCGUGGAGCAAGGCCUCGUACUCAGCCGCAUUGUUAGUGCAAGGAAACAUCAACUGUAGCACAUAAUGGAACUUGUCACCUUUAGGGGAAGCCAAUACAACACCAGCCCCCGAGCCCUCCAACUGCCUGGACCCAUCGAAGUGAAUAGUCCAAUACGUGUUAUCCGGCUUUUGCUCGGGCACUUGUGACUCUGUCCAAUCAUUAAUGAAAUCCACCAAGGCCUGAGAUUUAACAGCAGUGCGUGGCACAUAUUUGAGCCCAUGAGGUCCAAGUUCUAUAGCCCACUUAGCAAUUCUCCCUGUAGCCUCUCUGUUUUGAAUGAUAUCACCAAGAGGGGCAGAACUGACCACAGUGAUGGGAUGACCCUGAAAAUAAUGCUUAAGUUUUCGGCUCGCCAUGAACACACCAUAUACCAGCUUCUGCCAAUGCGGGUACCGCUGCUUGGACUCAAUGAGCACUUCGCUGACAUAAUAAACUGGCCGCUGAACCGGAUGCUCCUUACCCUCCUCCUUGUGCUCCACCACAAUAGCCACACUGACAGCUCGUGCGUUGGCCGCCACAUACAGUAGUAAGGGCUCCUUAUCAACCGGAGCAGCAAGGACUGGGGGCUCUGCCAGCUGCUUCUUCAAACCCUCAAAGGCGGUAUUAGCUGCAUCAUUCCAGACAAAGUUAUCAGUUUUCUUCAUCAACUGAUAUAAGGGCAUGGCCUUCUCACCCAAAUGGCUUAUAAACCGGCUUAAAGCAGCGAUGCGCCCGCCAAGCGCUGAACCUCAUUUAUACACGCCGGCUUAGCCAGGGAGGUGAUGGCCUUGAUCUUCUCCGGGUUAGCCUCAAUGCCUCUGUCAGAAACCAAGAAACCCAAGAGUUUGCCUGCAGGAACACCAAAGACACACUUGGCCGGGUUAAGCAUCAUCUUGUAGACCCGGAGAUUAUCAAAGGUUUCCCUUAAAUCAUCUAUCAGGGUUUCCUCUUUUAUGGAUUUAACCACAAUAUCGUCCACAUAAGCGUGAACAUUGCGCCCAAUCUGUUUAUGAAGACAGUUCUGUACACAACGCUGGUAAGUCGCAUGUGCACACUUGAGUCCAAAGGGCAUAGACACAUAGCAGAAGGCUCCAAAGGGAGUGAUGAACGCCGUCUUCUCCUGGUCCUUAACUGCCAUCUUAAUCUGAUGAUAACCGGAAUAAGCAUCCAAGAAAUUUAAACGUGCACAACCUGUCGUAGCAUCAAUGAUUUGAUCAAUACGGGGGAGGGCAAAAGGAUCAGCCGGACACGCCUUGUUUAAGUCCGUGUAGUCCACACACAUUCGCCAAGUGCCGUUCUUCUUGAGUACGAGCACCGGGUUAGCUAACCACUCUGGGUGAAAGACUUCAACGAUAAACCCGGCCGCCAAGAGCCGGGCCACUUCUUCACCAAUAGCUUUCCGCCUCUCUUCAUUAAACCGCCGAAGGAACUGUCUGACCGGCUUAAAUUUUGGAUCAACAUUGAGAGUAUGCUCAGCGAGUUCUCUAGGUACACCUGGCAUGUCAGAAGGUUUUCAUGCGAAGAUGUCCCUAUUCUCACGAAUGAAAUCGAUGAGCGCGCUUUCCUAUUUUGGAUCCAGAUUUGCACUGAUGCUAAACUGCUGAGAUGAGUCACCUGGAACAAAAUCAACAAGUUUAGUCUCAUCAGCCGAUUUAAAUUUCAUUGCCGGCUCUUGUUCUGUAGUUGGCUUUUUCAGAGAGGUCAUAUCUGUUGGGUCAACAUUGUCUUUGUAAAACUUCAACUCCUCUGUAGCACACACAGAUUCUGCAUAAGCCGCAUCGCCUUCCUCACACUCCAGAGCCACUUUCCGGCUGCCGUGAACCGUAAUGGUCCCAUUGUGACCCGGCAUCUUGAGCUGUAAGUACACAUAACACGGCCGUGCCAUGAACUUGGCAUAAGCCGGCCGUCCAAAUAUAGCAUGGUAUGGACUUCUUAUUUUGACCACCUCAAAGGUCAAUUUCUCCACCCUGUAGUUGUUCUCAUCACCAAAAGCCACUUCCAAUUCGAUCUUGCCGACUGGAUAAGCCGACUUACCGGGUACCACACCAUGGAAGAUAGUGUUUGACUGGCUGAGGUUCUUAUCAACCAACCCCAUACGGCGAAAAGUCUCAUAAUAGAGGAUGUUGAUGCUGCUGCCUCCAUCCAUGAGCACCUUUGUGAACUUAUAUCCUCCUACUUGAGGAGCCACCACUAAGGCCAAGUGGCCCGGGUUAUCCACCCGGGGAGGGUGAUCCUCCCUACUCCACACUAUAGGCUGCUCAGACCACCGCAAAUAGCGUGGAACCGCCGGCUCCACAGCAUUCACAGCCCUCUUGUGAAGCUUCUGAUCUCGCUUGCACAGACUAGUGGUAAACACAUGAUACUGUCCACCGCUAAGCUGCUUUGGAUUGGUCUGAUGACCCCCCUGCUGCUGUUGAUGACCCUGGCCAGACUGCUGAUUAAAGCCCCCUUGACCGUUCUGAGGACCGGAAUUUGAGCCGCCGCCCGGGCCAUGAAAGCCGCCGGCGCCUGAGCCGCCGCCCGGGCCAUUGUAAUUCUUAAAAGCCUUCAUGAUUGCACAAUCCUUCCACAGAUGAGUCGCUGGCUUCUCUCUAGAGCCAUGCCUUGGACAAGGUUCAUUCAACAGCUGCUCCAGCGUCGGACCUGACCCGCCGCCUCGGGGAGGGGGCCUCCCCUUGCGUCGCUGGUUAUUACCUUGUGAGCUGGCGUUGGCUACAAACUCUAGGCUGCCAUCGGCCUUGCGCUUGCCUCCUCCUUGGUUCCCCGGGUUAAACUGAGGACCCUUGCCAUUGCCGUUCUUCUUUCCCUUCCCUGUCCUUUCAUCAUCUGAAGGGGGAUCCUUGGUACCAUCAGAAUCGGCGUACUUGACAAGAGCCGCCAUUAGUGUACCCAUAUCACUGCAGUCGCGCUUAAGCCGCCCGAGUUUCAUCUUCAGGGGCAUAAAACGACAAUUCUGCUCUAGCAUUAAAACCGCUGAACCGGCAUCCAUCUUGUCUGAUGAGUGUAUGAUCUCCUUAACCCGGCGAACCCAAUGUGUCGUAGACUCACCCUCCUGCUGCUUACAGUUAGUCAAAUCCACAAUUGACAUAGACUGCCUACAGGUAUCUUUGAAGUUUUGGAUGAACCGGGCUUUCAGCUCAGCCCAAGACCCAAUGGAAUUCGGUGGUAGCCCUUUCAACCAAGUGCGGGCAGUCCCAUCUAACAUCAUGGUGAAAUACUUCGCCAUGGCCGCCUCACUGACCUCUAGCAGCUCCAUAGCCAUCUCAUAACUCUCGAUCCAGGCUGCGGGCUGUAAGUCAGCUGUGUAAUUAGGCACCUUUCUAGGGCCCUUGAAGUCCUUAGGUAGACGUUCAUUACGGAUAGCUGGCACUAAACAAGGGACACCCCCGGUCCUGGUAGGGAUACCCACGUCGACGGAAGUCGUCGGAUAAGCCGGGGGGGUCUGGUAAGCCGUCAAUUGAGGCACUUGCUCCGCUUCUUGCCGCGCUUUGUCCUGGUCUGCUGCAUAAAAGGCUCCAUUAUAAGUCGGGCCAUGGCCAGGAGGCGGGUCAUGGCGUCGGACGUUACUUGAGCCGGUCGCUGAGACCAUGUGUCUGUUGUAACUCGGGCUCUGGCCUGGACGAGGGGUCGAGUGGAUCAUGUCCCGGCUGUAGGAAUACGCCUCUUGCUGCGCCAGUGCUGUCUGAAGGAGUUCCCUAACCCGGCGGGUUUCAAUAGCCGUCGGAGAGUCGCCGUCAACUGGGAGAGCCGCCAGCCGUGCUGCCGCAGCGACCAUGUUCUCCAGCGGGUUAUUAUAAUGACCCGGGGGUAUUGGCACGUACUGAGGCGGGGCAGGGGGCACCUGGGGAGGCCCCAUCACCUGUGGCUGAAUAGGGGUUCCGGACCCGGGCACUAUGACCCCUGGCGGGUUACUAGACCCUGCACCUGGCGUGUUGAAGAGGUUGCGUGGAUCGUAAACCGGAGGGAGUCGAGAUUGGGCCUUUUGAUGCCUCCUUCUCAUGACCUCAUUGGCCGCGUUCUGAUCCAUCGUGAGUUGGAAGGACUGCGCCUGGAUCAGCUGAGUUUGGGCAUCGAGAGCCGCCCUCUCCGCAGUCAGCCUGAUCCCCUCCGCUGCAAGAUCCUCUUUAGCUUUCAUUAGAUCCAAUUUUAAUUGUGCCACCUCCGCAUCGUGCUGAGCCUGAUCUGCCGGGUCAACCGUGGCGGUUAGCAGGGCCGUCAUCUUGUCCGUGAGAUCCAUCAGCACCUGAGCCGGAGAAGGCACCGGGUUUCCCGCUCCAGCAGCGGGGUUCUGAACAGGCUGCGCACCAGCCAUAAAAACUCCAACCUGACUUGGCGGCUCAAAUAGGUCCGGAAUACUGUCACCAUCGGAACAGCCCAUGAGCCUGCCAUCUUGAAGUUGGUACAACGAGUUUGACUCAUCGGUGGCCGACUCGCCGUCAGAGCCGGCGGCCGUCUCAUCACCAGAUCCAGACCGAUCAGAGGGUCCUCCAUGGAUACACCCCACAAAAGCAUGCCUUAAGGCAGGCCGGGCCCGGGCGGGUUGCGCACGCUGCGCCGUCUCGACGAGAUCGGCGCAGAGACCCGGCUCACCAAUCUUGCCAAUGAAAACAUGAAUUCCGCCGAAGGGGACCCGGUACCCGUACUCAAUUGAGCCGGCGUCGGGGCCCCAGUUUGCAUCGUCGAUGUAGAGCUUGCCUCGACGACUCUUGGUCAUCCGGCCGACAGCGUAUCCCUUGAGCCCUUCGAAGCUGCCCUUCAAGAACUCAAAUCCACCGUGCGCUAGCCCCACGGUGGGCGCCAACUGUCAUGGAAUUGUCACGGCAGAUGUCCUCGAGCUAGGACUUAGUCGUGGAGCCAUCGCAACUAGGAAGCUUGAAGGGGUUAAUGCGGGACAAGGAACACGAGGGUUUAUACUGGUUCGGCCCCUUACGGUGAAGGUAAAAGCCUACGUCCAGUUUGAGGUGGUAUUGAUUAGGGUUACGAUCACCAGGGAGCUAAACUGCUAUGCCCGGCUUUCGAUGAGAUUGUUCUCCUCUCUCAACCGCUGCCGGGUCGUCCCUUUAUAUAGGGAGGCUGACACCCAGCAGCCCUCAGAGUCCCGGCCGGCUCAUAAGAGUGUCCAGCUCGGACUCUCAAUCAUACUUGCCUUAUACUACAAGUUCUACCAUAGUAAUGAUUGUAACUACGGGCCCUCAGCCACAUCCGGGUCUUAAGCCCAUCUCUGGCCCAUCGUCUUCAAGCUUGGUUCCGGGCUUCUGGCAACGACCAUAUGAGUAACCCGGCCCCUCUUGGCGGGUGACUCUAAGGUCUAUAUCCUCAACAAUGUAUGAUUGGUUAUCUUUGCAAGUCUCUUCGAAUUAUCAGUUUGGUUUGGCCUACUAGAUUAAUCUUUCUUGCAAUGGGAGAAGUGCUUAGCUUUGGGUUCAAUCUUGCGGUGUCCUUUCCCAGUGACAGCAGGGGCAGCAAGGCACGUAUUUUAUUGUUGCCAUCGAGGAUAAAAAGAUGGGGUUUAUAUCAUAUUGCUUGAGUUUAUCCCUCUACAUCAUGUCAUCUUGCCUAAUGCGUUACUCCGUUCUUAUGAACUUAAUACUCUAGAUGCAUGCUGGAUAGCGGUCGAUGUGUGGAGUAAUAGUAGUAGAUGCAGAAUCGUUUCGGUCUACUUGUCGCGGACGUGAUGCCUAUAUACAUGAUCAUGCCUAGAUAUUCUCAUAACUAUGAUCAAUUCUAUCAAUUGCUCGACAGUAAUUUGUUUACCCAUCGCGAUACUUAUGCUAUCUUGAGAGAAGCCACUAGUGAAACCUAUGGCCCCCGGGUCUAUUUUUCAUCAUAUUAAUCUUCCAACACUUUGCUAUUUCUAUUUCCGUUUAUUUUACUUUGCAUCUUUAUCAUAAAAAUACCAAAAAUAUUAUCCUAUCAUAUCUAUCAGAUCUCACUCUCGUAAGUGACCGUGAAGGGAUUGACAACCCCUUUAUCGCGUUGGUUGUGAGGUUCUUAUUUGUUUGUGUAGGUGCGUGGGACUCGCGCGUGGUCUUCUACUGGAUUGAUACAUUGGUUCUCAAAACUGAGGGAAAUACUUACGCUACUUUGCUGCAUCACCCUUUCCUCUUCAAGGGAAAACCAACACAGUGCUCAAGAGGUAGCACGCAUCAAAACCACAACGGUGAUUUAUCAAGUUUGUUGUUUUUAACCUUCAACAAGGACCGGCCGCAUUCAAAGUCGAUUCAACUAAAGUAGUAGAAACAGACACCCGCCAGCCACCUUUAUGCAAAACUAGUUGCAUGUCUAUCGGUGGAACCGGUCUCAUGAACGUGGUCAUGUAAGGUUGGUCUGAGCCACUUCAUCCAACAAUACCGCCGAAUCAAAAUAAGACAUUGGUGGUAAGCAGUAUGACGAUCACCGCCCACAAUUCUUUGUGUUCUACACAUGCAUAUCAUCUACGCAUAGACCUGGCUCGCAUGCCACUGUUAGGAAACGUAGCAUGCAAUUUCAAAAAAAAAUCUACGCUCACGCAAGAUCUAUCUAGGAGAUGCAUAGCAACGAGAGGGGAGGAGUGUGUCUACGUACCCUUGUAGACCAAAAGCGGAAGCGUUAGACAACGCGGUUGAUGUAGUCGAACUUCUUCUAGCUCUGACCGAUCAAGUACCGAACGUACGAAACCUCCGAGUUCUGCACACGUUCAGCUCGAUGACGUGCCUCGCCCUCUUGAUCCAGCAAGGUGUUGAGGAAGUAGAUGAGUUCCGUCAGCAUGACAGCGUGGUGACGGUGAUGGUGAAGUGAUCCGCGCAGGGCUUCGCCUAAGCACCGCGACAAUAUGACCGGGGUGUAAACUGUGGAGGGGGGACGCCGCACACGGCUAACAGUUGUUGUUCUAUGUUGUAGGCGCCCCCUUCCCCGCAUAUAUAUAUAUAGGUUGGAGGGGAGGAGAGGCAGCCAAGGGGGCGCCCCAAGUAGGAGGAAUCCUACUUGGGGUCCUCUCCCAAUUCGGCCAACCCCCCUCUCCUAUUCCUAUUCGGAGUAGGAAGGGAAGAGGGAGAAGGGGGAAUCCUAUUCCCUUUUUCCUUUCCUCCUUCCCCUUUACUUCUCCAAUUUUUCCAUCCCAUAUGGGGGGCGCACCAGCCCCUUUGUGGCUGGUGUGUUUCCCCUCUUGGCCCAUAAGGCCCAUAUCUUUUGCCGGGGGUGCCCGGAACCCCUUCCGGUGACCCGAUAUGUACUCGGUACACUCCGGAACACUUCCGGUGUCUGAAUACUAUCAUCCUAUAUAUCAAUCCUUACCUCUCGACCACUUAGAGACUCCUUGUCAUGUCCGUGAUCUCAUCCGGGACUCUGAACAACAUUCGGUCACCAAAUCACAUAACUCAUAUAAUACAAUAUCGUCAUCGAACGUUAAGCGUGCGGACCCUACGGGUUCGAGAACUAUGUAGACAUGACCGAGACACCUCUCCGGUCAAUAACCAAUAGCGGAACCUGGAUGCUCAUAUUGGCUCCUACAUAUUUUACGAAGAUCUUUAUCGGUCGAACCGUUAUGACAACAUAUGUUAUUCCCUUUGUCAUCGGUAUGGUACUUGCCCGAGAUUCGAUCGUCGGUAUCUUCAUACCUAGUUCAAUCUCGUUACCGGCAAGUCUCUUUACUCGUUCCAUAAUACAUCAUCAUGUAACUAACUCAUUAGUCACUUUGCUUGCAAGGCUUCUUAUGAUGUGUAUAACCAAGAGGGCCCAGAGAUACCUCUUCGAUACUCGGAGUGACAAAUCCUAAUCUCGAUCUGUGCCAACCCAACAAACAGCUUUGGAGAUACCUGUAGAGCAUCUUUAUAACCACCCAGUUACGUUGUGACGUUUGAUAGCACACAAGGCAUUCCUCCGGUAUCCGGGAGUUGCAUAAUCUCAUAGUCGGAGGAAUAUGUAUUUGACAUGAAGAAAGCAAUAGCAAUAAAACUGAACGAUCAUUAUGCUAAGCUAACGGAUGGGUCUUGUCCAUCACAUCAUUCUCCUAAUGAUGUGAUCCCGUUUAUCAAAUGACAACACAUGUCUAUGGUUAGGAAACUUAACCAUCUUUGAUCAACGAGCUAGUCUAGUAGAGGCUUACUAGGGACACAGUAUUUUGUCUAUGUAUCCACACAUGUAUCAAGUUUCCGAUUAAUAAAAUUCUAGCAUGAAUAAUAAACAUUUAUCAUGAAAUAAGGAAAUAUAAAAUAACAACUUUAUUAUUGCCUCUAGGGCAUAUUUCCUUCACAUGUCGGGUCCGGUUGAGCUCAACCUCCUUUGGGAGAUUCAAUUUCCUUUGAAGAUUAGAAUCUUCCUAUGGCAACUAGUCAGGGGCCGCCUUCCGUCCAGCACGGAGGUGCGUAAACGCAAUGGCCCCUCUGACGGCCUCUGCCCCUUGUGUUCGGUUCCUAAGGACUCGAACCACAUUUUCUUUGCAUGCCCCUCUGCGAGAAUUUUAUGGAACUACCUUUGCGAGGUGGUGGGUGGCCGUUGGUGCCAUGCUAACCUCCCGGAUAUGUUUGCAGAGGUUCGCGCAUUUCCCGGUACAGGGCGUCCCUCCCUCUGGGUGUCAGUUAGGACGCUGUUGUGGACAUUAUAUGGAAUGUCCGUAAUAAGUUGGUGAUUGAACACAUCAUUCUGUUGUGGGUGACUAACGCUGUUUACAAACUGUGUGGCUUUCUACAGCUCUUGAGGCCGCUUAGCAAGCGUCAAGACCGUCUGUCCAUCGACAGGAUGAUCGCCGAGCUCCACACCACCGCAUCCAGACUUGCACCACCGCUCCCGCUACCGCUUCCCCCUCCUCUUAUGGAGCCGGAUUAGCUUAUGAUGCUUGAUGCUUGAUUUUGGGGAUUGUUGUGCUGCUCCCCCAGCAAGACUUAUGUUUCUCAUACUGUGUGUGUCUUCGGUUCGGUUUCCGGAACCUUGCUACCGUCUCUUUGUGUUGUGGUCGUUGUUUUAUAAUAUAAAGCGGUGGAAACCCUUUUUCGUCAGAUCUUGCUGCACCUUCUUCAACACCUCAACGAAGUUCUCAGCUCCAUCCACGCCUCUUUCUUCGCAAAGUAGCACAUAUAUCCAAUGCCUUAGUCACGUCAUGCAGUGGCACCUAGAUCGGCAGAUCCUACCGUUGAUGUGUCCCUUCUUGAUUGCACAGUCGGCGCACCAAUGAGCAUUCUUAAGAUCCCCUACCUUGAGGUACUGAUCCAUAAAAAUCCCUCACAUCUUUGAGUUAAGUCUUUCUCUGAGCACCUUGGGACGCUUCUUGAGAACAAUGGCCUUGGCAAGCAUACCUACAGUAACAUAUGUUUCGAUCAAAGCAUUUGGAUGUUUCAGGUUAAGCUCCGCUAGAAUGUGGCACACAGAACAUCUCUCAAGAACCCAUGAACUUUGUGAAUAUCUCCACAAUUGAUUAUAAAAUAAUUGAUAGUACAAACAAAAAGAGCUGAGAUGAUGAGUGUGUACAUAUAACUUAGAAAAGUGUGUUCUUCUACUUUAACAUGCAUGCCUAUGGGAAACUGAGAUUUUUCUGUGUUUCACCUUCCAUGAUUUCUAAAUUCACUAAUUUUUUUGAUAAUGGGUGGAUUUUAUUGACUCAAAAUAAAGCAUCAAGAGAAUACAAACACAAUGAUCACACACACAGCCUCUGCAUAGUUAGGAUGCACACAGCCAACACCAACACACACACACAAAAACACGCCAGCAAAUAGCAAAGUCAUAUAAGACCAAAGCUAUGCAUAGGCGAGGUAAAAAGAACAGAACGAUCAGAUCCGCAAUCGACAAACUACAACAAUGAAUGUAUCUGCACCAACCAUCUUAUUGACACCACGGACGACAAGGUUCUUCAAAAGCAACGCCUUCAGGAAGGGAGUGACGCUUGAGCGCCUCCAUCACCGGAUCCAACCACUCAAGGCCAGAAUCUAGGUUUUCACCUGAAGAAUCAGUCUGAGAAUAUCCAAGAAAUGCCUUCAACAAGGUAAUGACGUAAAAACAUCGUCAUUGCCAAGUAUAACCAACUCGGGUCAAACCUAGGCUUUCACCUCGGAGCUUGAGACCGGGUGCUCAAGUAGCACCAUCAUUUCUAAGGUCACUAAUUUACACUGAUGAUAACUACUAGGUCUUCUAGAAAGCGGUUUACAAGAUCAUAUUCAUCGCUGACCAAACUAUCACUCGUGAACAAAUAUGUUGUUAAAUUCAUCAUGCUUCGCUCACAGAGCAAACCACAAUUAAUUUGAGAGAUGGUACCUCCCUGUAGGUUCUUCUUUCACCAUCCCUGGACAAAGAUUGCGAUUAGAAUAAGCAAGCUCAACUUUUAAAGUGUAUGGCCAGAAUUGCAUAUUAAAAGAUACUGAAUAUGGCAAGAGCAACAAAUCCAUGACUAGGUAAUUUCCUCUGCUCAGUCAUCAGUUUGAAAAAAUGGUAAACAACUUUGUAGCCCAGUGAAAAUGUGAUGAUAUCUUAGUUCGAACCGAAAAUGAAUAUUUACCCCAACAUAUACAUGUGAUCCGCGUGUGACCAACAGAAUAUUACCUGCGGGUAGACAACACUAGAAACACUGUUACUCAUCAUGAACUACACGCCAUUCAAUAGCAUCACACUUAUCACACACUAAUUUGACUCAAGUUUUAAGCAUUGCCCACUCUUUCUCUUUAUAUAUCUCUAAACCAUAUGCACCUUUUCAAUGUUGCUUCCGUUAGUCAUCAGCUUGCGACUAUAUAAUUAUUGUUGCACUUUUCAUGCGUUCUCUUGCCGAUGAGUUGAGAUUUUAGAAGAAACUGGAAGAAACUGGAAGAAAUUAUGGAGAAACCACAGAUGCAUCAUGGGUGUGUGCCCGCUAAGAAACCAUGAAAAUUUGACAGGAAAGCGUGUUGCUGCAGAUCCAAUAUCCAUAGAACUAAUUUUGUGACAGAAUUUACGUUCCAUUGAGAACAUUGCAAGCCCGUCAAAAUGGGACUGAUUUGACCCAUGGAGAAGUGUUCAAUUUGUUCGAGUCAAGUGUGUAAAGUGUGUACUAUUGAGAAUCGUUGGGUAUGUCGAUUGAGAGAAGAUGAAUCAAAGUGUUUAGAGUGGAGGGCAAGUAUGGAAUUCAUCAUUCGCUUGUUCCAUGUAAUUAAAGAGCAUGGCAAUAUGAUAGUUCUUCCUCCUCCAAGAGAGAAUGUAGAAAUGAAGUUAUCCAUCCACACAAUGUUUAUAUUAUCAGUUUGUCACAAUCCAUAUGAAUCCAAACACCUUAUCUUUAGAUGAUAGGUCGUUUUGGUUGUUUUUUUGGCUGUUAGUUCAUAUCUUGGCACGCCGUGCCUGGGAGUGUUCCUUGUCUGUAAUAAGUCCAUAUGGAAUCGUUGACCUGGGGUAUGGUUCUAACACUUGCAAUAUCUAAAGAGUAUCUCUGUAAACUCUGCAAGUCUGAUGCAUGAUCAGCAGAUAAUCAUAGUUUGUAGUUUACAGGCAAACUGCGAUUCUAGGAAGUGAUACGAACAUAAAUGACGCAUGCAUGCGAGAAUCAAUGCUACUCAUGAGCUACACACCAUUUAGCAGCAUCAUGCUUAUCGUGCUACUAAUGCAACCUAUGUUUUGAACAUUGUCCACCAUGUUUCCAUCUCUAGACCAUAUGCAUCUUUUCUGAUGGCGUUCCUUCUGUUGGUCAUCAGGUUAUGAGUGUACACUCGUUACUGAACUUUUAAUGUGUUUCCUUGCUGAUGGUUUGAGAUUUUAGAAGAAACUGGAAGAGAACUUGGACAACUGUUCAUAGGGCCGGCCCUGUGUUCAUCUUCUAGUCCCUGUAGGUAUGCCCACCAAGAAACAAGUAAAUUUUGAUAGGAAAAUGCUCCGUUGCAAAUCCAGCAUAAGUCCCAUUGAGAAGCACGCCGGGAACCGCGCGUCCUCGGUAAAUUAUGACAGGCACUUCAACGACUUGAGUAGAUCAACAGACCUCCGAGCUGGCAGACCAUGGUGCCAUCGCCAGAGCCACUCUGGGACCAAGCUGCGGGGACAGCCGACAUGGCACUUCAUGGCAGUAUGGUAGAAACCGAUCAACCGUGACAGCUACAAGGCCUGUAGUGAUGUUUCCCCUAUUGUAGCCAAGGCCCUGAUGCCGGCUAGUUGUUAUAAUUCUGACAAUUGUAAAAAAUUAUAAUGGAUAAUAUAUUAAUAUGAGUUGAUACCAAGCCUCCACAACAACAGAAUGUCAAGAGUCAAUCAAGACAUUAAGAGUGCACAUCACCAAAUUAUUGUAAAGGAGAAAAAAAAAGAAAAAAAAAAGGGAAAAUCCAACCACUACAGGCUAUAUCAUGUGUAUUCACUCUAAAGACCUAGUCCGAACCGAACAUACAUCUGUUGACUGCUCUAUAUGUCAUGAAUGAUUAAAUGUAGACAUGGUCUACUUGAUCUUAUCUCUUGCACAACGAGAAAAAGUAUGCUAAAGUUAUUUUCUCUCUGUACACUAAAGGUAUAUAGCCUUUAUAUAUUUUUGUGUAGAUAUUAAGCACCAGAUGAGAAUUGCAAGAAGCAAUUAUUUAUGCCAUGUUCCGAUUUUGCUUUCAAUUUUUUGUGACGGAUCUUUGACAUUUUUUCACUCUUCAGACACACUCCCGUUUCAUAACCAUACGUAGUUCAGAGUAGCAAAGGAUUCAUUCAUCGCAGCUCAUAGCACAGAUACAAAGACAUUGCAGUCAGAGUACAUGAUUGAAAUUUUGAUUCCAGCAAGCGAAACAUGUAUAGUUCAUUUGGCCGACCACAGUACAACUAAAAAGCGGAGCAUUUCAAAAUCCAAGAACUUCAACGGCGUCCAGAAGCAGCCGACGAACAGAGAAUCCCAGUCUAAGAUUUCAGUAUACAUCCCGGAGUCACNNNNNNNNNNNNNNNNNNNNNNNNNNNNNNNNNNNNNNNNNNNNNNNNNNNNNNNNNNNNNNNNNNNNNNNNNNNNNNNNNNNNNNNNNNNNNNNNNNNNNNNNNNNNNNNNNNNNNNNNNNNNNNNNNNNNNNNNNNNNNNNNNNNNNNNNNNNNNNNNNNNNNNNNNNNNNNNNNNNNNNNNNNNNNNNNNNNNNNNNNNNNNNNNNNNNNNNNNNNNNNNNNNNNNNNNNNNNNNNNNNNNNNNNNNNNNNNNNNNNNNNNNNNNNNNNNNNNNNNNNNNNNNNNNNNNNNNNNNNNNNNNNNNNNNNNNNNNNNNNNNNNNNNNNNNNNNNNNNNNNNNNNNNNNNNNNNNNNNNNNNNNNNNNNNNNNNNNNNNNNNNNNNNNNNNNCCCAGCUCUCUGUUAUUGAGAUGAAACAAAGUGGAUGGCAAAACGAUAUAAUCAAUUCAACACAGAUGGAGUCGACCAGCUUGUCAGUACCCUCGCUGAGUUGCACGUUUUCGAUCUUCAGACGGUGUCGCAUCCCAGGGUACUUCUUCGAUGCUAAAUUUCAGUAUUACAUCCUGGCGUUGCAGGUUUUGCAGAGAAUAGCGAAAAAAAUCUGAAAGCACCCUCAUGAGAUUAGCAUGUGAACAACUGAAGAUUAUGCAUAGCUAGCCAACAUGGGAAAUUUGUUAAGACCUCAUGAGUUGCACACCAUUAAGCGGCAUCACACUUAUCGUGCUGCUAAUGUAACCGCGUUUCGAAUAUCUGUCCACUCUGUUUCUAUAUAUCUCUAGACCAUAUACAUCUGUCGGGAUUACUUCUGUUGCUCAUCAGGUUAUAAGUGCACACUCAUUACUGAACUUUUGAUAUUACUGAACUUAAUAAAGAUCGGCCAAUGGCCCUUCGACAUUACUGAACUUUUAUUUGUUUUCUUGCUGAUGCUUUGAAAUUGUAGAAUAAAUUUUAAAAUGUGGGCAAUUGGUGGUCUGGAGGUGCGUCUAGUUAUGCCCACGGACAAACCAUGAAAAAUCAAUAGAAAAAUGAUCCGUUGAAUCCAGCAUAUGCCCAUUGAGAAGAAGCCCGGCAAAAAUGGAAAUGAUUAUGUCCCAUGGAGCAGGGUGUCUAUAAAUUUCAUGGAUGACGUAGCAGCGGAUUCUACUUUCAAAUUUGUGAGGAUCUUGAAGACAAUUUACAACUCAGAGUACCCAUCAUUAGAGUUGUAAACUUGUGCACCUUUAGAGUACCCGUCGUAUGACUCAGAGUAGCAGCGGAUUUGUUCAUUGUAGCUCAUACCACAGAUGUAAAGACACUGCACUCAAAGUACAUGAAUUCAAAUUUUGAUUCCAACAAGUGAAGCAUGUAUAGUUCAAAGACAAGGCCACGGCCCACGGUAAAACUGAAAAGCAGAGCAUUUCAAACAGCCCAAGGACUCCGAUGGUGUGCAGAAAUCUUGGUGAACCAAAAUAAAUGUCAGGCUAACAUUUCAGUACAUAGGUUUGACAGAAGAAAACAACCUAUAAUCUGAAAACAUCAUGUUGUCUGUUAUUAAGACGAAAUAAAGUGGGGUGCUAACCAAUUAAUCAAUUAACAGUUCAACGCAGAUGGAAUCAACCAAUUUGGCGAUUACAUCGCUAACUUCCACAUUUUAUCUUUAUUAGACGGUGUCUCAUGCCAGGGAACUUUUUUCAGCCAUUGCAUACGCUCGUACAAACGGUUCGAGCACCAGUAACCCAGAUCUUUCUGCAACUUCUUUAGCACCUCAACGGAUUUCCCGGCUCUGUCUACGUCUUACAGAGCAUACGUGAACAAGUGGUUCACAAGAUCAUAUUCAUCGCCAACCAAAACAUCACUCGUGAGCAAAUAUGCUGCUGAAUUCGCCAGCCUUGACUUACAGAGCAAACUGCAGCAAAUUUGAGAGCUGGUACCUCCCUGUAGGUUUCUUCUUUCACCAUCCCAGGACAAGGAUUAUGAUUAGAAUAAGCAAGCUUAACUUCUACAGAGUAUGGUCAGAUAUGCAUAGUAAAAGAGCCUUGGCAAGACCAACAAAGCCGUGACUAGAUAAAUUCCUCCACUCAAUCAUCAGUUUGGAGAAAAUGUGAUGAUAUAUUAGUAACUGGAAAUGAACAUUUACCCCAACAUGUACAUGUGAUCCGCAUGUGAACAACAGAAUAUUAUCUGCAGGUGGACAACAUGAGAAACACUGUUACUCAUCAUGAACUACAUGACAUUCGACAGCAUCACACUUAUCACGCGCUAAUUUCACCGGAGUUUUAAGCAUUGCCCACUAUGUCUUUAUGUAUCUCUAAACCGUAUGCACCUUUUCUAUGUUGCUUCCAUUGGUCAUCGGGUUAUGACUAUAGAAUCAUUACUAAACAUUUCAUGUGUUCUCUUGCCGAUGAGUUGAGAUUUUAGAAGAAACUGGAAUAAAUUGUGGACAAAGUCCGGAGCGGCGGCGCGUAUGUGCCCGCUAAGAAUCCAUAAACCAUGAAAAAUUGAUAGGAAAGUGUAUUGCUGCAGAUCAAACAUCCUGAACCUGAUUCUCUGACAGACUUUUUGCCCCAUUGAGAACAAUGUAAUCUCUGUUAACUCUGCAAGUCUGAUGCAUGAUCGGCAUAUAAUCAUAGUUUACGGUUUAGACGCAAACUGCAACUCUAGGAAGGCAUGCAAACAUAUAUGAUCAAGACAGUAUGAAACAUAUGAGAAGUUUAUAUUGUAAUCACAGUAUGGUACAUACGAGAAAUGAACCGAGGGAAGUGAUUGUUCUUCACAUUCAGAUAGUCUAACUAGUACCUCUGCUGAUUUAAGGAGUUUAUUUGCAUAUACUUUGACUUGGGAAAACCGGAUACAUAUCCAUUUGAGCUUAAUGCCCGCAUCAACAACGUAUGAUGAAUUCCUUCAUGCAUUUAUUCCAUUAUUAUGGUUAUGCUAGUUAACUCCUCAUGAGCUAGACACCAUUCAGCAGCAUCACAUCUUCUGAGCUGCUAAGUUGACUAAAGUUUUGACUAUUCAUUAUUGUUCAUAUAUGUUUCUUCUAAACUCUCACGUCACUAGCAAAGACAUAGAACAUAAAACUCAAAAAGGUGUAGUUAUUGGUGCUCGAAGUGUGUUGGAUGAACGAAGCCAUACUUUUUUUUUUGCUCAAAGCAGUUAGUAUGAAGACACAACUUUUGUGCUCACUCGCAUUUCACAUGGCGAAGUUUGCGCUUGCUUCAUUUUGCUUUUACAGAUUAUGAAUCAAUAAUUCUGUGUAAUUACAAUUCCCAAAUGCGUUUGUGAUUAUCCCAUGUACCAAACCCUGCCCAGCAGCCUUUGCAGGUUUAUCUACUCUUUGUUUUGCAAGUUGUCUUGCCGUAUCAGCACUUGUCAAUACAGAAAUCAAGGUGAAUAGUGUCAGACACGCAAACAGCAGAGAUGUAAAGUUUCAAAAGAAAAGCAAAGUGCAAUUUCCAGAAAGACAGAUAAACAACAAUAGGCGAUCAAGACAAGCCAUCCUUGAUGCAAUCUACUCCCUCCGUCCCAAAAUAAGUGUCUUAACUUUAGUACAAAGUUGGAGACACUUAUUUUGGCACAAAGUUGUACUAAAGUUAAAACACUUAUUUUGGGACAGAGGGACUACAAGUUUGCAUGGUAAUCACAGAAUGAUACAUACAAAAGAAGAGAACUGGACUAAUUUAACUCAUAACAGCAAAGGAACAACAAAGGGACACAGAGGACAUCUCUCUCAGAGACCAAUCAAACUUCAAUAGUAACAUCAGCCAAUUGAUGAUCAUAAAACAAUAAUACAGAAAAGAACCAAGACGAGGAAUGUGUACAUUACAAAGGAAACUAGGUUCUUCUACUUUAACAUCCGUGUCCGUGGGUGUUUCCAUCUUCCAAGAUUUUCGUCGCCGCUAAUUUACACCCAUGAAAACUCCCCAACUCUUCCAGAAAGCGGUUUGAAGAUCAUAUACAUCGCUAACCAAACUAUCACUCAGGAACAAAUAUGAUGUUGAAUUUGUCAGGCUUUGCUUACAGAGCAAACCGAAAAUUAA
RNAcentral lists this long non-coding RNA (45888 nucleotides) under Triticum aestivum (bread wheat). RNAcentral's name for it is "long non-coding RNA (TAES_LNC017372)". Lineage: Eukaryota; Viridiplantae; Streptophyta; Magnoliopsida; Poales; Poaceae. The record is from RNAcentral.